AUUUUUUCAACUUCAAGUGUUGUAAACUCUUUGACAAUUUUUUUUAUUUGUGUAUGAAUGACUUUGAAAUUGACUUGUUCCAUUUUUUUGUCUUUUACUUUGUCUUGAAUCUGCCCUUUAAUUUGGUUCUGCAUAUUUGGCAGGUGUGUAAAUGGAUUAUAUAAUCAAUAAGGAAUAGAAGAAGAGAAAAAGAAAAAGAGAUGAAAGAAGAAUCUACAGGAUUAAUCAUUGGAAUUUCUAUAGGUGUUGUAAUUGGAGUUGUUUUAGCAAUUUCUGCAUUGAUCUGCUUUAGAUAUCAUAGGAAGAGAUCACAGAUAGGGAAUAGUAGUUCUCGGAGGGCCGCUGCAAUACCGAUUCGCACAAAUGGUGCUGAUUCUUGUACUAUUUUAUCAGAUUCAACCUUAGGUCCUGAAUCACCUGUAAGGUCUGGUAGAAAUGGCAUGAACUUUUGGAUUGAUGGUUUCAAGAAAAGUAACAUGAUUUCUGCAUCUGGAAUACUUGAAUAUUCAUACAAGUAUGUUUUUCUUUUUCUUUUUUGUGUUGAGUUUGCUUUAAUGUGUCAUUCUUCUUGUUUUUUAAAUGAAACUGCUCUAAAUUCUUGUACAUUUACAUGUUUUGAGACUGAAUUAUGAGCAGCUAUCUAUUUUUAGAGUUUAAUUUUGAUACACUCUCUUUUACAUUGUCAACAAAUCAUAACUGAUGACUGUAGAAGUAGUUAUAGUUGAAUUCAAUUUUUUUUUUAAUGAUUUGAUGAUUAUGAUUGAUUGAAAGUUUAAAAUAUCAAUUUUUUCCCGAAGGUUUGAACUCAUGACCUGGACAAGGUCAUGAGUUCAAACCUUCGAAACAGCCUCCCCUUUACUAGGGUAAGACUGCUUCAUCUAUCCUGUCGAUAGGAGAUUCGUGCAUUAAGCCGUCUUUUAUGAAAUGGUCCACCAUAACACCAUUAUACUUGUUGAAAUAAGUAUUAGAUUGUCUCUUAACUUUUGACUCAUGUAUAAUGUUGUCCUUUUAUAUUGCACCAAAUACUAUAUAGUUAUGAUAAUUUGCAAAUUAUGGUGACAACUAAUUGUCUUCAAAAGUGGAGUGAAGAUCACAAUUGUUUGAACUCAAUGUAAUAAUUAAUAAUGACUUUUUUUUCAUCUAAUUAUCUAUUUCUUCUCUUUCUGUUUUAAUUCUCUUGUUUACACUUCAGGGACUUGCAAAAGGCAACAUAUAAUUUUACAACACUAAUAGGACAAGGUGCAUUUGGUCCUGUAUAUAAAGCUCAAAUGUCUACUGGUGAGACUGUUGCAGUUAAAGUUCUUGCAACCAAUUCUAAACAAGGGGAGAAAGAAUUUCACACAGAGGUGAAGAUUUUUACCAAUAAUCAUUUAGCAGAAUACUUUUCUUAAAAUAGCUAGAUUCUGUUGUUAAUUUAGAAAACCAUGAAAGUGUUAAUAAUUUUUCCAAUAGUUUUGGUGAGUCCACUAAUGUCUUGAUGGUCAAACAUUAAAUUUCCUAAAAAUAAGGGUAUUUAAUGUCUUAUUUAGUUCUUAUGCAAAACCUUAUAUGGAAAUUAUUUUUAAAUGGAGGUAGUAGUUAAUAUUUCUUUAUGAUGAUUUUUCUAGACUUGAGUGGUUUAUCAAUUUUAACCUUUUCUGUUAUUUUAAUUUUGGUUAGGUUAUGUUGUUGGGAAGGUUACACCAUAGAAACUUGGUCAAUUUGGUUGGAUAUUGUGCAGAAAAGGGUCAACAUAUGCUUGUUUAUGUUUACAUGAGUAAAGGCAACUUGGCUUCCCACUUGUACAGUAAGUCAGCUAUCUAUUUUUUUUGGUUCGAAAACUACAAGCCAUAAAUUCUUCCCUUAGAAUGAUCCACGAACCCUUCCCUUCAACUUUUUAAUUUUGAUGGAAAAAUUGAGAGAAAAGUGUACAGUUGGGACUGUUGUAUGCAAAUUUUGUAGAUGAAUACGCUUCAUGUAGAUAUCGGUUUUUGUAACCUAACCUAAGUCGACAUAACUGGCUUGUAAGAUGAACAUUGCCUAAGCGUUAUAAGUUCUAUUUAGGUCAUGUCUCUAGCUAAUGUGGGAUUUGGAUUUUUUUUCCAAUUGACCCAAUCACGCUCGAGUCUGGUGCAUGGAUGAUACAGGUGCCUCAAUACCUGAUAUAGAACCUUAGAAAAAUAUAAAUGUGCUUAGGUGAAUUAGCGACUAGAGAAAUGUUUAAUUUAUGCACAUAAAAGAUUAUUCAAAACUACACGAACGGUCCUUCAACUUAAUUUAAAGUUUCAAACACACCCUUUAUCGUUUUUUAGAUCAAAAAGGUCAUGUAUCUUUCUAAACGACAACAAUCUUAGACCUUUAGUGAUUUUCCAUCGAAACUGCUGAAAAAAAUGGCAUUACUUGGUUUUCUUUUGAAAUGUAAUUUGUCAUUAUGUCGUUACUUUGGAAUUCCGGUGCCAUUUUCGUCUUAUUUUGGAACUUGAAUGCCAUUUGGCUAGUCUUCAAUGAAUGAAAGAGAUUUGGUUUACAUUUAGCGAGAAAAUGUUUAAUUUAUGCAUGUAAAGAUUACAAGGAUAAAUAAUGAAUAUGAAAUGCAAUAUACAAGUUGAUUGAUUUAGUGAUCUCUAUGUGCAUUGAAGUAGAGCCAUGGUGAUGUUCAAUAAUGAUUUCCAUCACCAUAUUGAAAUUAUGAUUUUUUCAAUAAUGUGCCUUUCAAUACGGUGCUAUGAUUUUUUCUGUUUCUUUUUUGAUGGUUUCUUUUAAAUUCAAUUUGCAUAUAUAUGCAAUAAUAAAUGAAGCAUAUAAACUUGUCUCUAUAUUUAGGUGAAGAGAAUGGGAAUCUGGGCUGGGAUUUGAGGGUUCAUAUAGCUUUAGAUGUAGCAAGAGGCUUGGAGUAUCUUCAUGAUGGGGUAAGUUACCAUAUGAUCUGCACUGAGAUAAUCUUGAUUUAUAUAUUUAGUAACAAUUGUAUGUAUUGUUGUCACUCCAGGCAGUUCCUCCUGUCAUUCAUCGCGACAUCAAAUCUAACAAUAUUCUCUUGGAUCAGUCCAUGCGAGCCCGGGUAUGUCCUGUUAAUCAUCACUUUUUCUAAGCAUGACCUUGUAUAUCAUUAUCAGUAUUUUACGAUACAUGCUAGUCGUAUCUCGAUUCAGCACAAGAUUAUAAACUCAAUUGACACAAACCUGUAGUGUGUAUCUAUUUGGACUUGAAUCUCAUCUUGAACCCCAAAUUAUUAUGAAGAAACUCGAUUCACUAUGAUGAAUCUCGGUUCACUUUAAUGAAUCUCGUUUCAUUCUACUGAAUCAUUACACUUAGUUUACGCUGCAACCUAUUUUGUCAACUUUGUACAGCCUACCACUUUUCUUUUGCCAUUUGAUUUAUGACUAGAAUUUUGAAUUAUUUUGAGGUUUGUUAUGUAUGUCACAUGUUUUUACUUAAAAAUGUUAUAUUUUUUACUUGAAAUUUGAUUUGAUAACCAUGAUCUUUUAUUCAAUCUGUAUGAUCUGAGAUAAUGCUGAAUGACAAAAUAUAUAUUUCCUCUAAUAAUUUAUUGUGGGUUAGAAUUCUUAUGCUCUUAUUGAUUCUGAAUCAAAUAGGUUGCUGAUUUUGGACUUUCAAGAGAAGAGAUGGUGGAUAAACAUGCUGCUAUUCGUGGCACCUUUGGCUAUCUGGAUCCUGAAUAUAUAUCAUCCGGGACAUUCACCAAAAAAAGCGAUGUAUACAGUUUUGGAGUGUUGCUCUUUGAACUUAUAGCUGGCCGAAAUCCUCAGCAGGGUCUUAUGGAACAUGUUGAACUUGUAAGACCUCUCUCCCUCUUUCAAGCCCUGUUGAAAAUAAAAUGUAUCUUGUUGUUCUUUCUUCUUUGCUUGAUACAUAGUACAUAUCGAAACAAGUGGUGACAGAUCUAGAAAUUUAAGUUGCGGAGACAAUACUCACAAAUCCUUGUAAAUAAUAGGGCUUAUUGUGGUUCAAUUCAGAAAGAAAACCGUACCAAACUAAACCGUUACGGCGUUACCACAGUUCAUAAAAACUGAAGCGAACUGUUAAUGGGGUCCGUCCCAAGAGGUGCACCAGUUCGAUGAUUCUGAACCGAAAUAAAACUACCUUUACAAAAAAUCUAAUUGUUCUUUCUUGAACUGAAUUUAUAUUAGUUGGAAAAAAAAUUAAAAAAAUCGAACCAAAUUGAAUUUUUUUUGAUGCAGCACACCAUGAUAUCUAAUUAAUUUUUUCUGUUCUUAUGAAUGCUAUUGAUGGAUGAUUAGGCAGCAAUGAACUCCGAGGGAAAAGUUGGUUGGGAGGAGAUUGUUGAUUCAAAGCUCGAAGGAAAAUGUGAUUUCCAAGAGGUGAAUGAAGUGGCAGCACUUGCAUACAGAUGCAUCAACCGUUCCCCAAGGAAGCGUCCUUCGAUGAGGGACAUAGUUCAAGUAUUGACUCGGAUCCUUAAAGCAAGGCAUCAGAGGAAUCAUCACAAGAAGUCUCUUUCGGCCACAACAGAUGAAGUUGCAAUUGAUGUUGAUGAGCCAGAAAAUAAGGGUCAUGUUACUGACCACAGAAGAGAUGAAUCUAUAGAUAGUCGCCACAGAAGAGAUGAAUCUAUAGAUAGUGCAACUGACAUGUAUGAUUUGUAACAAAAAUAGCUUUAUAUUUAGUUCUUUUAUUUUCUAUUGUUUUAUUUUUAUUUAUUUUUUGGCUUUGGAUAAUGAUCUUUAUUAGACAUUAGGCUUUGAGUGAGUUAAUGAUGUUUGGCAUCAUCUUCUGUAGUUUUGUGUAACAUUCUUUUUUUUUUUUACAUUAUUUUUUACUUUAUUGUUUCAUUCUCUUGCCUUAGUUCUGUUGUCUCGCAGAACAGAAACUCCUAAAUUUGUAUAUUAUUACUUUCAUGAAUGAAAUUGAUGUGAAAAAAGGGUUACUUUCAUGCACGCAAUCUAUUUUCCGACUCAACUAACAAUCUUAAUGUCGAAAAUAAUUUUAAUCUCACUUAAAUGGAUUUGCAAAUUAUUUGAGGGAUCAUAGUUUUAAUUUCUGAAGAGUUAACUAGGAUUUCAAUUGCAAAAUUAAUCUAACUUCAUAAAUUUUAAUCUCUGUACAAGAGGAGCUCCCUGUCAACCCUACUGCCUGCGCUGCACCAGUAACGAGAAUCCGCUUAGCACAUCAUGGUAGCAUGUUCAUUUGCAGCUGACACAGAAUCUGCUUGGCAUAUCAUGGUAGUGCGUCCAUUUGCGCUGCACCAGCAACACAGAAUCCGCUUGACACAUCAUGGUAACGUGUCCAGUUGUAGCUGGCCAUGGCAGGAGACAGGUAUGUGGACUGUCCUUGACAGAUUUAUUGAUAUGAAGAUUAUUGCAAAUAUUUAUUAUUCAAAGUUGCAAAUACAAUAGAUCCAAACCAGCUAGUCAAAUGGUGUACAGAUAUGCGAAGUUUGUGGCGCUGCAGAAUUUACACUUAUGGAAGCAGUUGUUGAAGGUCUGCAGGAAUUGCAUCAGAGAGCUACGUCCUUUUUAGAACACCGGCAGCAAGUCAAUAACCAUAUAGCAGAGAAGCAGCCAGAAUGGUGAUGACAAAGACCACCGGUACGGAUGAUAAAAUGUAACAUUGAUUCAUCGUUCACGGACAACUAUGUUGGUGUAGGAAUGUGUCUAAGCGAUGAAGUAGGCAAUUUCCUGCAAGAUCGAACAGAUCACUAUUCUCCUCGCCUCCUUGUUCAUGAAGAGCACUUGGUUUGAUUGAAGCAAUCAAGUGGGUUAUAAGCUGGAGAUUGAUCAUAUAUUUUUUGAGUCGGAUUCUAAAUUGACGGUUGACAAUUUUAAUAAACCAAAUCGGGAUAUGUCCGAACUAGGUUAUAUUAUUGAUGAUUCAUGAUUGUAUAUGUUUUAUUUAAGUCCCUUUUUUGUCAAAACUCUGGUGGUGGAGUAUGUUAGGAGACAAACUAAUGUAGUGACUUAUAAGCUAGCUAGAGUAGCUACAUACAGUCAAGUCUCAAAACUUUGAUUUUAUCCCAUACUAUAUCUUGCUUGAUAAUGAUAAAAGAAAUUACUUAAGUUUGCUUGCUUCAAUUUUUUUUCUUUUUAAAAUAUAAAUUUAUCAAUUGCAAAUAUGUAUGCAACAGUGUAGAAGAAACCUCAUAACAUAUAUAUUUUUUUAAAAAUUAAUAAUGCUAAAUGUUGUUAAUAAGUCCUUUUAGAUUACUGGAUACAAAAUAAAAAAUAAAGUAUAGGAUAUAUCAAAAUAUUUAAUAAGAUGCAUUCUAUAUUUUUAAGGAUAAAACUUGGUACAUUCAUUUUCUUAGGUAUUUUUCGUAUGUUUCUUAACUAAACUAUCCAUGUUUUACUUAAAUCGAUAAUUUUUUUUUAAAGUUUGUUAUAAGAAAAAGUGUAUUUUUAAUUUAGAAUUGUACAAAAGCACAUAAGAAAAUACAUCUAAACGAGAGAAGUAUAAUUCAAGUAUCUAUUAAGAGGAGAGACAUAUAAUUUACUUUAAGUUUUUACUUCUCAAUAGUGUAAGGCAAUUACUUACCACUCUAUUUCAUCUCACAUCACCAAUCCAAACAUAGCACAAUAGUGUAAUUUACUCUAGUAUUUAUUAUUGAACAAAAAAUUAAAGAGAAAAAAAUAAUAAUAAUUGGUUCAUUCCGAAGAGAGUUACAAUUGAAAAUUGCUUCUCCAUUUCAAAAUUACUUAUUCCCUUAAUUUAGUGGGAAACUCUCGCUCGACAUUUUUCAGCGUGAGUUAACUCACACCAGCACUUUUAAGAUCGAUUGAACCGAUUUAAAAAAUGAUUGAACAGAUCUUAAAAAUGUCGGCGUGAGUUAUCCAUGAAAAAUGCCGGGAAUUAAUUCCUGCCGAGUUGAGGGAAUGAGUAAUUUUGAAAGGAAGAAGAUCAAUUUUCGUUACAAUUUGGGCUUACAAAACUAACCCACAUAAAGCCCAUGAUCCAUUUUCACACCAAAUUCUUCAAUUUUUUCUUUUAUUUUGAAAUUUUGUAUUAUCCAAAAUCAUUAUCAGAAGCAGAAGCAAAAAGAAGAAGUUACAGCAACAAAAAUGGUAGCUAUGGCUAUGGCUUCUCUUCAGAGUUCCAUGACCUCACUCUCACUCUCUUCCAACUCUUUCUUCGGCCAGCCUCUCUCUCCCAUCACUCUCUCUCCUCUUCUUCCGGUACUUCAUUCUCUUACACUCUCUCCAUUAAUUUUGCAAAUUUGCUUCUUCUUUUUGAAUUAAAGUUUCAAUUUUUAUUAUUCUAGGUACUUAUUUUCUAAUUUUAUCCACAUGGGGUUUUUGAUUUUAGUGAGUUUUAAGAGUCCAAGUUCAUGGGUAAUAGCAUUUCGUGUUUAUUUUUCUAAUUAGAAUUGUGGUGAUAUUGUUUGAAUUUAUAGUUAAUAAUUAUCAUCUUCAUAGAAUUAGUGGAUGCACUAAUCAGUUUAUAAUUCAUAAUUCUGUUCAUGUUUAUAUGGCAUGUCCUAUUCAACGUCAAUGCUUCUGAUUGAAGGUGUGUCUCGGUGUCUUAUUCAUUUUCUUAUUAGAAUAAAUUGAAUCUGCCAUUUUGUAGCAUGACCAGUGCUAUUGGAAUUGAAUGUGAAUAAGCUCAUAAGAGAUUUAGAUUUUUCACAUGACAAUUGUGUGUCUGAAUGUGUUCUUUAGACAAUCACAAAUUAAGAUAGGAUUGAAUUUGACAAAUAUAGUGCAUAUGAAGAAGGAGAUAUAACACAAUUUUCAUAUCAAUGUGAAAAUAUUGAUUAAAGGAUCCAUUUCUAACUAAUCCCUUGUAAGAAUAUAUGUGUUCUUUGAUGUGUGUUCAUUUGCUUAGUGCUUGCCUAAAAUUAUCAUUUCUAACUAAGCCCUUGUAAGAAUAAAUUUAAAUGUUAUUUGUUCAUUUCUAACUAAGCCCUUGUAAGAAUAUAUGUGUUCUAACUUAUCUUUUCUCUCUCAUGAUCUUCUCUAAAAUUUAGAGAUAGACACCAAUUAUGGAAGGAGAAGGAGAGAGUGAGUGGAAGUGGAGGAUCUGGAUCCAAAUUUUAGAGAGAAGAUCAAGAGAGAGAGAGAAAAGGUAAGAAGAUCGAGAGAGAGAGAGAGAGAGAGAGAGAGAGACACAUAUUUUGGGAGGAAGGAGAUGGAGAGUGAUUGGAUGGAGAGGAAAUAGAAGAUUUUGAUGAAUCCUCUAUUAAAAAAAAACACAAAGCUAUCCUAGUUUCGCUAUUAGAGAAAUAGCGGCCACUAUUCUAGUUUCUGCUAGCAGAUGUAGUGCAACUGUGCAAUAGAAGAAAAGUAGAAUAUUUGUUUUUUUUUUUUUUUUUUUAAAUUACAAAAUUGAAGAGUCUGCACGUGUAGCAAACAAGAACUAUUUUCAAAAUAGAAGAGUCGAAUCGCCAGAGAGUAAUACUCUCAUAUUCACUGUAAUACGUAAGCCUUUAUGUUUGUAAGCUAUGCUUUGCCUCCAUACCCUUUUUUAUUUGUACGGAACAUGUCUUUCGUUAUAUAUAAUUGACUUAAUUCAAGCCUUUCGUUAUAUAUAAUUUACUUAAUUCAACCAAUAUAGAGUCUGCUAUUUCGCAUAACAGAUUUUUGGCAUUCCACUAUUUUCUGUAAUCUGCGAUUGACAACACUACGAAAAUGCAAUAAUGCUUAAUGUUUCAUUCAAUGUAAUGUAACUACUACAUUUUGCCAGGCUGAAAUUUGACUGUUUAUAAGGAUAAAAUGAAUCUAUAUUGUUCUUCUUCUUACAGAUGCAUUUCUCAAUAGUUUAGUAUGCUAAAUCUAUAUUGUUCUUAUUGGUGAUAUGCAGGGUAAGCCGACAGAUAAGCAAUGUCGUAUUGUAAUGAAGGUAAGUAUCAAAUACUUCCCACAUCCAUGCCUAAUAUGAUUAUUCUCUUUAGUUUUUGUUAAACUAAAAUCAAAAUCAAGCAAAUGUUAACUAUAGUGAUCCGAGAGCAAAGAAAUGUUUUUUUUUCCGUCAAUGGCAUUUUCAUACUCUUGCAAAAAUGAAAACGAUACAAACCUUAUGAUUUCUUUAAUUUUAUAUUGUAAAAAAACAUAAAAAGACAUUGGUUUAUAGGUCAUGAGUCUAAAUAUAUUGUCUAACAACUAACCUUAUAAAAUGUCUUGUGUAAUAUUUGUUUUGUUUCUUUUCUUUUCUGGCAGCUUAAACGAUGGGAGCGAAAGGAAUGUAAACCAAACAGCCUUCCAGUGUUACACAAAUUGCAUGUUAAAGUUGGAGAUACUGUGAAAGUCAUAUCAGGACAUGAAAAGGGUCAAAUUGGGGAGGUUACUAAGAUCUUCAAGCACAACAGCACUAUCAUUGUCAAAGACAUAAACUUGAAGACAAAGCAUGUGAAGAGUAGACAAGAGGGAGAACCAGGGCAAAUAAAUAAGGUUAUUAUCAUUUCCCUUUACCAGAGAAAACAUUAUUAUGAAUUCUUCACUCUUAAGAGUUAGAGAAUCUCCUAUUAUAUAACAUUCUCCUUUGUUUGAGGGAACUCGAGUUCAAAUCCUGGCUGGAACAAAUUUUGGUCAAUUUUAUUUACCUCCCGACCGAAGUUUGGAUUACCAUGCCUCUUUUCUCUAGAAACUUGAGGGUUAAGACAAAAAAAAGAAGUUUAGAAACAUGCGUUGAUGUUUAUGAUUUUUGUUUUUUUUUGGUGCAUUUCUUGUCAUGGACUCUAAUACUUUUAGAAACCAUUGCCUUGAAUUUCAGAUUGAAGGUCCUAUCCACAGUUCAAAUGUGAUGCUCUACUCUAAAGAAAAGAAUGUCGUAAGCCGUGUUGGUCAUAAAGUUAUUGACAAUGGCAAAAAAGUUCGUUAUCUAAUAAAAACUGGAGAGGUAAUUGAUAGUGUAGAGAAUUGGAAGAAACUGAAGGAAGCUACUAAAAAAACUGAAGAACUUGUUGCUGCCUAGUUUUACUAUAUUAAUUCAUGCAUUCAGCAGUUAUGUAACUCAAUGUAGUUGUAUUAUUUUUUUUCCCAUUUUAUUGUUAAGUGUAUAUUAUGUUGUGUUAUUAUUCUGGUACCUAUGUUGAUCUCCAUACACAACUUGAGUAAUUGGAUUUGUUUUUUGUCCUUUGGUUUUGGUCUUUUUUAAGAGAAAAUGUUAUUGACACUACAUCCUAACAUUAAGAACUGGUUGAUAUCAACUCUCAGUUGUAGACUUCUCGGUCCAUCCGACAAUGGAUGUUUUGAAUAUCGGGAAUCUUCAAAGCACCAUUGUUGGAAUCGUAAACAAUAAACUUCAAUAUAUUACUUCUGAACUCAUACAAAUCCAUCAACAAUUGGUCAAUCUAAAAAAUAUAUAAAACCUUGCACAAACGCGGUUCUCUCAUGUUAGGAACACUAUACAAUUUAGUCCAAGAUUUUUUAUUUCCAUAUUCUUUCAUAAUUGAAACAUCCAUAGACAUACGACCACUUGCUUGCAUAGAUGCGCAAGCAAUGCUUCAACAUCCAUAAGGUCUUGAAAUCAAUCUCCAAAUAUGGCCGGCAAAUGUUUUGAUACGACUCUUUAUCCAAAUCAAGGGAAGCAAUAGCAUGCAAAGAGAACUACUCGAAACAUCAUAUGUCAACCAAUUAACGGCGCCACUCGUAAAUACUCCUAAACUACGAUUAACGCAAGAAUAUGAGCAGUUUUGUAUCUUUUUCCAAUAAUCUGUAUCCAAGGUAUGAAGAUUAGCUUCAUACUUAUGAUUAUGAAUGAAAUGAUCAUACCCCAACCCCCAAUCCCACUUCCAUUAUCAAUAAAAUACCUAUCUCACCCCCUCAAACACCAUACUGCAUACAUACAGUACCAUUAUCCCCAACUGCCCUCAACAAAAACACAAAAUCCAACAAAAAAAUAGAAAUUAAGCAUCAUGAAAUCCAAUUUUCUUGGCUUUUGGUUCAAUUAUAUAUAUGGUGCACUAAAGAAAUGAUCAAGAAACAUAUGGUGCUAGCACUAGCAACCAAUCAAUACAAGGAUUAGAAGAAAAAGUCAAUACAAUCAAUGCAUGAAAACACAGUUUUUCUUUCAUGCACUUCCAACAUUAAACUUAAAAGAUGAUGGCACAAUAUAUUUCGACAAAGAGGACACAAUAUUUUAGAAACUAUGAUUUCCCAUCAACACUUAUUUUGGCUUAACAAUUUCGAUUUACCACUUAAAAUGAGUCUAGAACUGUCUUUGAAUACAAGUGAAUGAAACCCAUUGCAAACAACUUUCCAAAUAUUAUUAAUGGUCAAUCAUAUUCCACUUUUUUUUUUUUUUUUUCAGUUGUAAUCGAUCACUCUACAUAGCAAACUUGUCUACAAAAAACUAGUCGUCAUUAAAAAUUUCUAUUGCUAGAAAUAAAAAUAAUGGUUUAGAACUCUAAAAACCCUAAAUCAUUCUAGUUUCAGAAUAGAUAAUACUAGUCCAUAACCCUAAGCACCUUCACCACGUAUAAAAGAAAGAUGAAUUGAUAAAAAAGAAGAAGAAGAUGAAGUGAUGAAAAAAAAACUAAAUCAAAAUCCCCUAAAACGUAUAAAAGAAAGAUGAAUGGAUAAAAAAAAAACUAAAUCAAAACCGCAAAAUCAUUCAAUAUACGUAAAAAAAAGUUAAAAGAUAGUAUCAUGAAGUAAACAUAUAUAUAUUUUUUUUACUGUAAAAGUAGACAUAUAUAUGUAUGGUACUGGUACAUUAACAUUUUCAUUAAUUUUUUGAGGGAAACUGGUACAUUAACAUAUAAUUAUAUUUAUAGCAACAAUAUAUAUUUUUUGAAAGAAUAUUUAGCAACAAUAUGUAUGGUACUAGUACAUGAAAAUUAAAAGCAGUUGUCAAUUUGUCAUUUAUGAAAGUCUUUUGACCAAUGUAGAUAUUUCUAUCCCCCUAUUUAGAAAGUGCAGAACUAGUACCAAAAAAUAGAGAGAACGUGAAAACAACCAGCAUUUUUUUGUUCAAUUAUAAUUGAUCAAUUACAUACCAAACUUGUGUCAUAACUAAAAUGGAACAAUGCAUAAAAGAAACUACUAAUGAUCAAGAAAAGAACCCUAAAUCAGAACAAUACAACACAUAAUACUAACUAGUCAAUAACCCUAACCACGACGUUCACCACGGAUACGGCAAGCAAGUUGAAUAUCCUUAGGCAUAAUGGUAACCCUCUUAGCAUGAAUUGCACACAAAUUGGUAUCCUCAAACAAACCAACCAAAUAUGCUUCCGCUGCUUCCUGAAGUGCGAGAACCGCAUGACUCUGGAAUCUGAAAUCCGGCUUGAGAUCAACAUGAGCAAUUUCACGAACAAGACGCUGGAAUGGAAGCUUACGGAUCAAAAGAUCGGAACUCUUCUGGUAUUUACGUAUCUCGCGAAGAGCAACUGUUCCAGGACGAAAACGACGAGGUCUCUUAAGUCCUCCCUUUGGUUUAUAAUUACGAGCAAUCUUUGUGGCGAGCACCUUCGUUGGUGCCUUGCCACCGGUGGAUUUGCGAGCAGUUUGCUUUGUACGCGCCAUUGAAUCAAAAAUAGAAGAAAACUGCUUUGGUUUUGAAAGUGUCUUGAAAGAAAAAAAUUGUAAUGAGAAUAGUGAAUGAAAUGAAACAUUUAUAUAGAAAUGGUAUGAUGAUGGUUAUAGGCGGUUUUAUUUAAAUUAGAGAGACAGUGUACGUGGAAGUUGCAUGUUUCAACGGUUUUGUGCUUCAACGUGGAUUGCCAAGGAAGGUGGCUGAUAUGUCUUUUAGAUAUUUAAAUUGAAUCUACCAUUUUGUAGCAUGACCGGUGCAAUUUGAAAAUGAGUAUAAAAAAUAUUGUGAAAGAAAAUGAAGAAAGAUACUUGUGACAUUGAAGUUGGUCAAUGUCACCAACCACGAUGUCACCAAAGUAUUAUCGUGUUCUGAACAUAUAUCUUAAAUUUCAACUUUCAUAUGUGUUUUAUAGAUAAUCAUUGAAUUGGAUAGGAUUGAUAUUUUUUUCACAUGUGUUCUAUGAAAGUCUCUAAUAGAAGGAUCCAUAAUUUUUUUUUUAAAGAAUAUAUAUUUAUUUUAGCAACAUCAAAUUUUAAAUUUAGAUGAUUAUUUAAACUAAAAUAAAAUUGGGUUAGAUGAGAAUAUUAUUAGUACAAUUGAGACUAAUGAUCAUUUUACAACGGUUUUAGAUCAGGUUAAAACGUUCAUUGAAGUUAGAAAAUCAUGCUCCUACGGUUGAAGUGACACCUCUCAAACCAAAUCAUCAUGUAAAAGAUUUGUAAUCAUUCUAUGUACAUAUACAACCAUUAAUAUAAUCACAAAUUGUAAUAAGAAAUAUAUUAUACGAAAGAAGAACAAUAAAUAUAUCACUACAAAAAAUCAACCUUUUAGAGACCGAAUAUUCAGUCGCUACAUCAGCAAAAUUAGUCACUGAUCGAUUUAGUGACUAAAAUAACGACAGAAAGUAAGAGUGGCUAAAUCGCUGGUCGCUAAUUAUUUGCGACUGGCCUAGCGACUGAUUUUUCGCGACUACAUGUAGAUAUUGAUUUUGUCAAAGAAUUUUGAGACAGAAUUAGAGACUGAUAUAGAGACGCUUUGGGAGACUGAUUCAGAGACGAAAUGUGGACACCGAUUUGGUUGAAACAGCCAAUUCAGUGACUUAUUUUGUGACUAGUACACACGAUCAAAAGUCUUGUCUCACCUAACCUAGAACAUCUGCUACUACUUCAUCACAUGAAACAUCUCAAGUUGCAUCCCUUCCAAGUACAUCUUAUGUAACACCUCCACCUUCCAUUAGAGGUGUAGAUUACACCAUCAGUUCCACAACCAUGUCAUUUAAAGGAACCUACCACAAGAACUGUUGUAUUUUUGAGUUGAUAUUAUAUUUUAAAAGUUAUUAAAAGUUGUUUAUUAUUUGUUGUUGAUUUAACCAUGUGAUAUUUACUUAGUCAAAGCCUUAUUUGUAUAACCGUUGGGUCAAAUGCUAAAAACUCAUUCCCUAUUGUUAUGCCUCAUUUCCCUUAAUAUAAGGAACAACGUACCACAACUCUCAUGUAUAUAUUUUUUAUAAUCUUGAGGAUUUUAUUUUUUAAUGAAAUCUGUUUGGGUUGUGCCGCGACAGAUUUUGAUCAAAGCACGUAAAAUUAAAUGGUGUGAGAUUAUUGAUUAUGUUGUCUGGAAAGGGAUUGGUCAUAAUUGUCGUUUCUUGGAGUGAGGUGGUCCAUUCGGCAAAAUACGAUCGAUGGUUAAUUUUUGUUGAUGUAAGAAAAAGGCUCGCAGGUUCCUCUUCAAUGAAAGCAUUCCAUUGAGUUUGAUGAUGGUAAGCGUACCAAUGAAAUCGAUGAGAUUACUCAACCUAUUGUUGAUGACAAUGGCAAGGUACAUUUACUAACUAUAGAUUUACAUUGGGAUAUAUAUCUUUAAAUGUGUGACUUUUUAAAUUGUUUGUGCCCCUCCCUCUGUAACUUAUAAUAUUUGGAUAUGUAUGUCAUAAUGCAUAGAUUCAAUUUUGAGUUGGUAAGAGAAAAGUUAACUUUGAUAGUUUGGAAUGAUCUGCAUAAUUAUUAUCUUAAAUGGUUAGAGUGAAAUAUCAAUUGAGAUUUUAUAUAUUAUUAGUUUUGUAUACACCUAUCAAUUUUUUGGAUUAAUUUGGCCUAUUAUUGUUACUAUUGCCUAUUAAUAUUAUAAUCCUGAGAUGAGUUUUUUUGUUUAUUGUGCCAGCAUCUGGUGUAUGUAUUAAUCUAACAUAAGUGAUUAGAAUUUUUUUUGUAAAAUAGAAGAAUUCUUAUUUUGUGUUAUACAUAAAUACUCCUAUAAAUUAUAAAAGUAGUGAUACAUAUAUUGAAAUGCAGUUUUGUUAGAUUAGAAACUUUUAUGAAAGCUCUUUUGUAGUGCAUCUUUAGUUUUUGUAGUGCUUAUUAUGUUGGUUUUAUUAUGUUUCUAGUUAGUUUGACAUAUCAAUUAAUCUUAUCUUUUGUUAACAGAAUGAAUUUACACACAAAUGGGAUACUUUGACACAAGAAGCAUCUUCGCAAGGAAUGCCUCCACCAAAUCAGCUAGAGGUGUGGUUUGAUGUUGCAGAAAUAAAGAAAGGAUAAUAUAUGGUCUUGGAAUGGGAUCCUCUGUACUAGCAAGACGUCCAAAUUAUCAUGGCUCUGGUUCUUCUUCAUCCGAGUGGGUGCAAAGGCACGAGCUUGAACAAAUGAGAAAUGAAAGAGAUCAACUUCAGGAAGAAUUGGCAAAAACGAAUAAGGUCGUUGAACACCAAUAUCAAUUGAUAAAACAAAUGAUGGAAACCAUGAUCCUUCCAACCCAUCCAACAUUCUAUAGACCAAGCCAAUGAGGAAGACCAAACUAAUGAUAAUGUGGUUGAUGACAAGUUAGAUUUGGAAGCACAAAAUGUUCCUGAAUAGAUAAUUUGAUGUGUUUUGUUAAUUCAUAAAUCUCUUUGGAUUAGUAUUUUGUUAAGCCUACCACUUUCAACUUUCUGUUGGUUAGUAUUAUGUAUUUGAAAUUGUAUUUCAAAUAAAUAGAAAUCAUGUAAUGUUUCUUUGAGAGAAAAAAUAUAUAAUGUUUAUUAUAAUGGUACGAGCUUAAGAGUGUUGAACCAAGAUGAGUUUUAGAACAAUAUCUCUAAGAUUUUGAUGAUAACUAUGUACAAAUUGGACAAACCUCUUUGAAAGACAAAGUGAGUACAACAUAUCAUUCCCAAAGAAGUAAAGGAAUUUCGAAGUACUAUUUAACAUAAUUAUCCUUAAUAGGAAAAGAUUUGAAAUCUAAAGAAAACUUCUCAAGGAAGCUUGAUGUGCAGACACUCUCUUAAAAAAUUGACUUAAUUCUGAUCUCCUAUAAAAUGAUCCUGAGUGUUUGAAUAAAUAUAUAGAAUAACACGCUUUCAAUUGUGCCAAAAUUCUGAUAAUUUCCUUAUGUUUUUGUUUUCCAGGCGCUAGAACAAUUUGAAAAUCUAAUUAUUUUUUAUUUUUUUAGUAAAUAUUUUUUAAUUAUGUUUCCUUCCGAAGUUUUUUCUCAAAGAGAUUUUCUCUCCAUGUUUACCAUUGCGAUAAAAAAAAAUUGUUAGUAGUUUUUUCCAUUUUUUUUUACUAAUUGACUAAUUAUGUUUAAAAUAAUUAAAACAUAUUGAAUGCACUGUUACAUAUUUUUUUGGCUGAAAAUUACUAUGAGAAUUAAUAUUCCACAUUGUGCAUAUAUUUUUGAAAACAUAUUUUGCAACAUUAGAAUAUAAUUAUUAUAUUCUAUGUCAACUUGUGAGGAGGCAAGCCAUCUCAAAUCCCUUGUGAGGGAUUACGAUGUCAACUUGUUCAAAGAAGAAAACUAUAAUAGAGAUCCAAUUAUUUCUUGGACUACUUAUCCUACCAUAGUUGAGAACCAUCAAACUAUUUAAGUGUGAAUAUUCAUUUUAGUGAGUGUAAGGAAGCUUUGUUUAAUAUGAAUCCUCAUAAGACGCCCGGAGAAGACGGGUACCCUGCUCUUUUCUUCUAAUAAUGUUGGAACACUAUUUCUGAGUCAUUGUACCAGUAUGUGAACCAUGUUUUGGUUAAUCCUUUUCUUAUCUCUUACAUUAAUAAUACUCUUGUAGUGAUGAUUUCUAAAAUUGAGCCGUUGCUUGAUGGUAUUAUUUCUCCAUACCAGUCUAAUUUUAUUCCAUGAGAGAAGUAAACACCAUAUAUUAUUGUUUCUCAGAAAAUGGUUCACUCCAUGACUAAGAUGAAAAGAAGCAAUAUGUUCUUGUGGAGAUUAUGAUCACAGCAAUUGGAAAUUUGUGGAGAACUAUUUGGAGGAGUGUAAAUUCCCCCUAAUCUCAUUCAAACAAUCCAUCAUUGCAUAUCUUUUCCUAACUACAAAAUUAUGUGGAAUGGGGAUCAAACUGACACUUUCAUCCCCACUAGAGGAAUUCAUUAAGGAGACCCUCUCUCCCCUUAUUUUUGUUAUUCGUAUAGAGAUAUUAUCCAUAUAAUUCUUGAUCAGGUGGAAGUUCAAUAUUGGAAGCGAAUGCAUGCAGUUAGUUCUGGUCCUCAAAUUUCUCAUCUUCUUUUUGUUGACGAUCUUCUUCUUUUUAUAGAGGCCUCAAUUGAGCAAGCACAUUUCAUUACUUGGGUAUGUUUUAUUAAUCCUCGGGACAACGUAUUAACAAUCAAAAGAUCUAAAAAAAAAUUCUCUAAAAAUGUGGAUAACCAGCUUCAUCAAGACAUUUGACAGCAUACGAGUUUCACUCAGGCCAAUAGCUUGGACAGAUACCUUGGAGCUAACAUAUGUCCUGGAAGAACUACAAGAGUUCAUUUUUGCCACAUCAUCAACAAAAUUCAAAAUAGAUUAAGUGGGUGCAAGAAACAAAUGCUUGAGUAUUGCAGGAAGGAUUACCUUUUCUAAGUCCGUCCUUAUCUCUAUCCCUUACUAUCAUAUGCAUCAUGUUAAAAUUUCCAAAAUUCUUUGUGAUGAGAUGGAAAAACUGCACAAAAGCUUUGUGUGGGGAGAUACUGACCAAAGUUGUAAAUCACAUUUAAUCAAUUGGGAGACUUGCUGUUUACUGAAGGCUGGGGCUGGGAUUGGUUUUAAGAGGCCUCUGCUGAUGAAUGAAGAUUACCUCAUGAAGAUUCUUUUGAACCUUAUUAACAAGCCUAAUGACCUCUGGUGCAGGGUUCUUUAUAACAAGUAUGGAAAAAUAAUGAUUUGCGUACAUCUAUAACCUCUCAACCUUAUGACUUACCUUUGUGAAAAACUCUUUGUAAACUGCGGGAUGAUUUUAAAAGCAACAUUAUUUGGCAAAUAGGAAAUGCAAACGUCAAUUUUUGGUUGAAUAAAUGGUUACUCCUUCACGACUAUUUCAUAUUUGGACACUACUCUUCAUGUCAAGGAUAUGGUUACUCCUUUAGGAAAUUGGGAUCAAAAUUUUCUUUUUGAUAAUCUGCCAAACAACAUAGUUGAAUAGGUUUUAGCUCACCCCGCUCCUUCUUAAUGGUGAUAGUCGAGAUACUUUUGGUUGGGGAGGUACAAAUACGUGCCAGUUCUCGGUUAAAAGUUUGUAUAAUCUACAAUACGAGAAUCAUAAUAUUUUUGAAGGGGACUAGAGAAUUUUGUGAAACUGGAGGGGAACACAUCGUAUCCAAUCUUUCAUCUGGUUGGUAGCUCAUGAUCGUAUUUUAACAAAUUACCGCCGAAGUAGGUGGGGCAUGGACAUAUCCCCUACUUGUCCAUGUUGUAGGAUAGAGGAAGAGACUACUCUUGAUAAGCUCAGAGACUACAUUUAUAUAACUAAUGUAUGGACCAAACUUGUUCUUUCUGAUCGGAUAACUGACUUCUUUGCUUUUGAUUGAAGGAACUGGGAUUUUAGUAACUUCAACAAGCGUUGGAAUGACGUUCCUAACUCUAUGUGGAAGACAACUUUCAUGACUACAUUUUGCUAUUAGAGUUUUUUUUAAUAAUAUUGCUUUUAUGGUGCAAUAGUAUACUUCUCUUAAUAAUGGAAAAAAUUAUUAAAAAAAUUAACAAAGCAUGCCAAGAUCAUGAAAUCUCCUAAUAAUAUUACUUUUAUGGUGCAAUAGUAUACUUCUUUUAAAAUAUUAAAAAUAUAUGCCUUCAAAUUUCACAUGGUAUUUGAUCUGUGCAUGAUAAUACGAGCCAAAUGGAGUGGAUUCUAAGAUUUUGUGUUGUUGUUGACGAUGGUUGUUCUUUACCUGCACAUGGUGGUCUACCUGCAAAGACACUUUGACGUUUAAGUUAGCAAGGUCUCUAGAUGUUUUGAGGUUUAUCUCGAAAUGAAAAUGUGUAUCUUAUUUUGCAUUUGGUUGCUCUAUUUAUCUAUUCCUACGUGUUACACAAGUGUGAGUUAUGUUAUGGUUGCAACCUUAAGGGGCAAAGGCCGGAAGACCGCGUGAUCAUUUUGAGGGCAUGUAUGUGCUCAAGGCACCUUAUUUAGUGUAUUUGAAUGCCUUAUUAAGUCUUAACACUAACAUAUUGAAGGGAGAAUUGUUUCUAAAUCAAGAGUGUUAUAUGAUUAAAGCUUGGUUUAAGGUUUAAGAUGCAUGGAGAUAAACAAGUUUCAAAAUCCUAAGUCUAAGGGCCUUAGACAACAUGACAAACUAUGUAUUUGUUUACUACAAGAUGAGAACAAUUCCAUAUUCAAAUAUUGGUUGCAACGUCAUGCAUAGAGUGGUAUGCAGUUGACCUGACUUAGCUUGUGUUUUGAACAUUGGUUAGUAGAUUAAUAUUUAUGGAAAAUCCAAGACUAUCUCAUAAGACAUCAUUGAAGUGCAUCUUAAGGUAUCUUAAUGGUACUUUAUCUUCUGGUUUAAAUUAAUUUUAACAAUAUGAAGUUUCAAUAAAGAGAGGCAAAAUUAUGAAUUCCCAAGAACUGAAAUGAGAAUGAACUUAAAGGUGCAUAAUUGUAAUAACUAAACAUAAAUAAAUAGUAAUACAGAGAAAAUGGUACAAGAUUGAUAAGGAAAAAAUGAAGGGGGUGACACCACACUCAAAAGAUUCUAGGGAGAAAAUGAAUGAUAAAACUUGAAGAUGAAAGGGAAGAGUCUAUAUAUACUAGACCAAAAUAGAUACAUAAUCUCACAAUGCAAAAAGUGUAAUUUUUAACCAAAAUAUUAAGCUUUGCCUGUGCCAUAACUUAUUUAUAAGUGAAGAAAAGACAAUCUAUUAAAUUAGAAAUAUGCAUAAAAUACAUAACAAACUUAAAUUAACCAUGUUGCAAUUGAGUGUCAUGCUCAAGUGACGAAGUAUCGAAUCUACAUCCUAACAUUAAAAAUAAGGUUAUAUGAAACUCUCAAUGUAUACUUCUCGGUCCAUCCAACAAUGGAUGUUUUGAAUCUCAGGAAUCUUCAAAAUACAAUUUCUAAAAACGUAAACAACUAACUUGAAUAUAUUACUUCUGAACUCAUACAAGCCCAUCAACAAUUGGUCAACCUCAUAAAUAUAUAAAUUCCUUCCACAAACCCGGUUCUCUCAUGUUAGAAACACUAUACAAUUUAGUUGAAUACUUUUUAUUUCCAUAUUCCUCCAUAACCCAAACAUCCAUACACACAUCACCACUUGCAUAGAUGCUCAAGCAAUGCUUCAACACUCAUAAAGGUCCUGAAAUCAAUCUCCAAAUAGGGCUGGGAAAGCUUUUGAUAUGACUCCUUAUCCAACUCAUGAGAAAAAAUAGGACGCUCAUAGAAUUAUAUGUCAACCAAUUAACGGUGCCAGUCACAAUUACGACAAACACAAAAUAUAGGCAGUCUUGUAUCUUUCUCUAAUAAUCCGUACCCAAAGUUUGAAAAUUCACUUCAUUACUUUUGCCAUCAAUAAAGAAAGAAAUAAGCGUGCAUUUCGGCGUCGGAGAGGUUCUUAAAAUUAAAGACAACGUUUUUUUUUUCCUUUCAAACUCUUCACUGGGCUGGGGCUACGGUUCUUAUGCAUAUGUAAGCCCUUAUGGUGGUAUUUUAUACAAUUUUGAUAGUUAUUUGUUUUCCUCCUUAUAAGAAGGUGGUGAUGAAAUUGUACACAACCCACGACAAUUUCCAUAAAAUAUAAUUAACAUUUUUUUUUUGAAAGAAGCAACAAUAUGUAUGGUACUAGUACAUGAAAAUAUAAUUAAAAGCAGUUGUCAAUUUGACAUUUAUGAAAGUCUUUUGACCAAUGUAGAUUUGAAAGUUUCUAUUUCCCUAUUUAGAAAGUGCAGAACCAGAGUAUUUCAGUCGAUAGAGAGAAAACGAAAACAACAAGCUUUUUUUUUUUGUUCAAUUGUAAUUGAUUAAUUACAUACCAAACUUUGUCAUAAUUAAUAUGAACAAUGCAUAAAAGAAACUACUAAUGGUAAAGAAAAGAACCCUAAAUCAGAACAAUACAACACAUAAAAGAAACUUGAAUUGAUAAAAACAAACCCUAAAUCAUACCAAUACUAGAAUACUAACUAACUAAUCCAUAGCCCUAAGCACGUUCACCACGGAUACGGCGAGCAAGUUGAAUAUCCUUAGGCAUAAUGGUAACCCUCUUAGCAUGAAUUGCACACAAAUUGGUAUCCUCAAACAAACCAACCAAAUAUGCUUCCGCUGCUUCCUGAAGUGCGAGAACCGCAUGGCUCUGGAAUCGUAAAUCCGUCUUGAAAUCCUGAGCAAUUUCACGAACAAGACGCUGGAAUGGAAGUUUACGGAUCAAAAGUUCGGUACUCUUCUGAUACUUACGUAUCUCACGAAGAGCAACUGUUCCGCAACGAAAACGAUGAGGCUUCUUGACGUGGCCUUCCCUCAUUUUUCUCAUAGAUUUUCCGCCUCCUUUUGCUCUUGGAGCACGAGCAACCUUUGUGGCGAGUUCCUUCCUUGGUGCCUUGCCACCGGUGGAUUUGCGAGCAGUUUGCUUUGUACGCGCCAUUGAAUCGAAAAUAGAAGAAAACUGCUUUGGUUUUGAAAGUGUCUUGAAAGGAAAAAAUUGUAAUAAGAAUUGUGAAUGAAAUGAAAGAUUUAUAUAGGAGUGGAAUGAUGACGGUUAUAGGCAGUUUUAUUUGAAUUUGAGAUAUCGUGUACGUGGAAGUUGCAUGCUUUAACGGUUUUAUGUUUCAACGUGGAUUUGCUAAGGUGUUCUAAUUAUUUGUGUUCUCGUGUUGAUGAUUAACUCAUCUUUAAUUUUUUUUGCAUUUUUUUUUUCUUCUCUGGCAGUUUAGGCAGUUUACACCUUCUUUAAUUUUUUUUUUGGUUACAGCACCUUCUUUAGUUUAAUAUUGUAAAACAACAUAAGAAGACAUGUUUUUUUUUAACAUCAAAUUUUAUUAAUAACCAAAGUCCGGGGUAUAAUAUGAACAAGAACGACAAACAGAAACUACGAAAAAAAGACGCGUUAUAUGGACGGAACAUCCAAAAGAAAACCAUAACAACACCAAUAUAAACACCACCUAAAUUGAGGGCUAUCACCAACACUAGAGGUUUUUAAAAUUGAACCAAUCUAAUAAAAAAACCGCAAACCGAACCAAUUGAAACCGCAUUUAGUUUGAAUGUAUUUAGAUAACUUUUUGACUCAACCACACGAUUUGGUUAUUUUGUGGUUUUUAUUUUAACAAUCGAAUUAAACAUUAAACUGCAACAUAAAAGAGAAAUAUUAAUUAAACUUAUUUCAUCCAUUUCAAUACAUGUAGAAACUUAAUGUGAACUUGUAUAGAAUGACAUAUUUUUUCUCUUGUUAAGUUUCUUCUUUGUUUUUAUUUCAAAAAUGUACUUAUGUGCUUUAGUUUGAUGCUACAAUUGCACUUUUGGAGAUAUGUUUAUGUUAGAGAUAUAUUAAAUCAUAUAAUUUCAAUGAGAACUUUUCGAAAAUGAUAAAAUCUUAGUCUUUUGUAUUUCUUAUCGGGAUUACUUUUUGGUCUAUAUUUUUUAUUUUUAUCUAUGUUGAUAAUGAAAUUGCAUGUUAGAUGAAAUUUGAAACGUUACUGGAAACAAAUUGUUUUUAACUUUAUUUUAAUUUUGUAAAUAAAAAAAUUGUUGUGUUAUACAGAACUGCAAUAAACGAAUUAAUCCAAGCCAAUGCCGCAUUGAUUUAGUUUGAUUUGAUUUUUAUUGUAAAAGCCCGCAAAACCAAAUUAAAUGACAUGUUUUUUAUCUUACCGUUAGGAUGAAUUUUAGUCCGAAAAUCGAACCAAUAUGCAUUGCGAACGACCCUAACCUAAUAAGAAAUCUAACCACUUAAAUCAAAGUCAACACUUAAAUCAAAGUCAACAUUAAUAAGAGUAGUUUUGAUCAAAAUAGUGAAGAUGGUAGACAAAAAAUGUAAAUAUAUUAAACGUGAUGAUCGAAAUGUUGUUAAGUCCAUAGUUAAAAUACAUAGUUAAAAUACAAAUAUUAUUAUAAUAUUUUUAUUAUAACUCAGCAGAUUCCCACUUUUUGAUAUUUUCAUGCUAAUAUACUUGUACAUCCGAUAUUUUAGAUUUGUCAUAUUUCAUACCCAUAACGUUCUCAUAGCUAUGCAUCUUUGAUAAUUCUUUUUAAAAUUAUUAUUAAUGGUAAACCAUAGUCCCCAUUUUUUUGAUAAUUCUUUUUAAAAUUAUUAUUAAUGGUAAACCAUAGUCCCCAUUUUUUUUUCAGUUGUAAUCGAUCAGUGACAUCCAAAAAUUGUCCACAAAAAUACUAGUCAUAAUAUAAAUUGUUAUAAAACUCUUUAAAUAAGAACAUGAAUAUAGAGAAAUAGAGAAGAAGAGAGAGAACAUAGAUUAUUCUAUUAUUAUCUUAAAUGUACAUAUUUAUGUUACGCGUGAGUUCUAUUUAUAGAUAAAUAUAAUGAUGUGAUAUAUGUUAAUAGUUUGCCCAAUAAUCCAGUAACUAAUGAACAUUCACUUAUUUACAAUAUUCAUAACACCCUCCUUUGGAUGUCCAUAGAAGAAUAUGCCCCAUUAAAACGUUACCAGAAAAAUAUAGUGGAAAAAAAAUUCUAUUGAAGGAAAAAGGGUACAACAUCCUAUUAUGUGAUAAUCAACCUUAUUAAAAACCUACCAGAAAAACCCAAUGAGAUAAAACUAUGGUUAAGGGAAAAAAAAAGUGUAGAACACAUUAUCACCCUCGUAAAGACAAUUAUAUACGAGAUGAAGAAUGUCAAUUAAUCUUUUGUAUAGUUACUCAAAAACUUUACUUGGCGAUGACUUUGUAGAAAUAUUUGGUGCGAGAUCCCUUUAAGAAAACCUUGUACGUGUAAAAUCAUAAUCCUUAAUAAUAGAACAUUCUUUACUUCCUUGAUGUAGUGCUAACAUUUACAAAUGAUCAGAUGAUAUUGUAGUUUCUCUAAGAUACAAGUUGUAUGCUUGAUUUUGUUUGAAUAUUUGUGUUUAGUAAUAUUGACAAAAAUAACCAUUGCAAAGUUUCCUGAGGCCUAUUGAAUCUCCAUUCUUGGUCUUCCUAAAGUCUUCACAAAUCUUCGGAUGUUCUUGAUUUGUCGAUUUGCAUGAUUUCUUUGUGAAUUACUUCAAAACCCCCCUAAAAUUGCUAAGUUUCGGGAAAACUAGAAUUACAUACUCAAAUAUAUAAAACAUUACAAAAGUCCCAAAAUCAUAGGCAUUCGUUCUAAUACUCCUCCUAUUUUCUAUUAAAACCUACUGAAAAUAACUAAAAAAACAUGCUAAGAAUAACGUAAGAUGACCUGUAAUCAGACUCCAACAUCUUAAAUGAGUAGAGUUGUUGCAUUUGGAAUUGCCUAUGAGCCAAAGGCUUUGUCAUAUACAAAGACUCCAACUUUGACCACAUCGAUGCCGCGGUUGGUUCCUUUGCUACAUCUCUAAAAAAUUUAUCCCCGAGGAACAAGACAAUGGCGCUUCUGGUCUUGUCCAUCAUCUCGGUCUUCUCAGUUUGUGACUGGUAACGCACCUUCACCCGUCAAAGCUUGUGCACACUUUUGUUGUAUCAAAACCGCUUCCAUCUUGACCUUCCAUAACUAAAAUAGUUACUUCCGGUGAACUUAUGAAUAUCCCACUUUGAACCUAUGGUACCUGAUUAUUGAUUUGAUAUGUGCCCCACGGUGGGCGCCAAUUGUUGUGAAUUCGUUAAAAAUCACACCAAUAAAAUACUUGACGUGUGGAACAAAUUAAUCAAGCAACCAAAAGAACGUGGGUGACAAUUACAAACACAAGGAAAAGAUAGAACAACAAAGGAGAAAUAGAGAGAGAACACAAAAAUUUGUUUACCUAGUUCGAUCCAAUGCUGACCUAGUCUGGGGGAGAGAGCAGCUCUUUGUUCCACUAUAAAAAGGUUAUAAGAAUUAGUCUUCAAACCUAAUUCUACCCAAAGUCCCGAAUCUUUCCCGAGACCAAGAGACUCCAUCCUAAUAGUGUUUCUCCAAGGUGAAUCAAUGAUUAUUCAAUCUCAACCCUAAUGUUUGUUGCCAAGAGAAAAACUCUACAAUCCCAAGUUUUAGUGUUGGCUUCUAAACCCUUGUUUUUUUUUUGGUAGAUAAACCCGUGUUUUUCUACUCUCUCUCAAUAUUUCAUAUGAUACAAGAUUUGUAUUAAUAGAGAAAUAUAAUGCAUAAUUAAUUUGGAACAGAUAUCACAUUGAAGAUACUUUUUUUUCUCCUUCAGUGAAAGAAUAUUUGCAUCAAAUAUUCCCUUUCAAAAUAUAUUUGCAUCAAAUUUUCCUUUAUAUGGUACAAAAAUAUAUUUUCAGCACAAAAUAUAUUUAGAACAAAUCUUUUAUAUUUUUAGCAACAAUAUUCUUCAUCCAUCAAAUUUUGAGUCAUACACAAUAAUAGACAUGUCUGUUUCUUGUCCAUGUUUUUGUUUGUGCUUUAUAGAAUGGAAUGCUUGGACUUAGAGCAUGUUAUAGUGAGGAAUCGAUAGAAAUAAAAUUUGGUUCUGUAUUUAUCAUCGUUUAAAUUUAAUGUGUGAGAAGUAAUUUCGAAAAUGCUUGAUCAAAAAGCUGCAGCAUUGUUAUUACAGACUCAUAAGCUUGAAGCACUUCAUGAACUUAAAUCAGGAAAAAUUUCGAUAUUACUAGAAACAAUUGAUAUUCCUACAGCUGACCUUGUUAUCAAUUAUGAUUUUCCAAGGUUUUUUUUUCUUGAGCAACAAAUUUUAUUAAGAAAACUUGGUCCCUGCACAAGACGAACAGAAACCGAUAAUCCAUAAACUACAAGACAAAGGUGUCGUAUAUAGAAGGAACACAAAAAAAAAAACACAAAAAAGACGGCAAAACCCCAUGACCUAACCAAGACAUACCAUUACUUUUUUUUUUUCAUUAUUUCUAUUAGCGAAAAGACGGACACUCACGUACUCGUCUUUCCGCUCUUUUUACUGCGCUAAAAUUUGUAAAUUAUGAACUAUGUUUUUUUUUUUUUAUGAAAUUUUGAUUUUGAUUAAAACUAAAAAUAUAAAUGUUUGUUGCUUUCUAGUUAUAACAAACCAAAUUAAACAUGACUAUCUAUUUCAAUAACACCAAAAACAAUUUUUACUAAUAAUAACAUUUUUUUUUUUUUUUACAAAAGCAUCUAGUAGUGUUGUUUUUAGGAAUAGUAUAUGGUAUUAUUGAUCAACAAAAAUAUGUAAAUCUAAUAAUGUAUUAUAAAAAAACUAUCCUACCCAAUGACAACAUAUUCAAAAGAUCAAUCGCACCAUUCACUAGCCGACAUGAAUUAAAGUCAGACCAAAGUUUGCAUAAGGACAAAAGGUAAGGUAGAGAAAAUAGAGAAACUCUCUAAUAUUCUCAAAGAAAGAUAUUAUUUGAAUGCUUGAAUUCUUCAAUGCCUAAACACUUGAUGGUGAGCCUUAUUUAUACUAAUCUUAGGAAGGCUCUACAUUACAAACUAGAAAUAUCUAGAAACAUUGAUUACAAAGAAAAGUCUAGAGACAUGAAUACUCUAGUUCAUAUGACUAGAAGGAUCUAGAAAAGUUAAGAUUUCUCUAGUGCGUAAUUUUAUUUUAUUUAGUAGAGUGUCCAGUAGCUUCCUCGUUAUUCUUUAGUAUUUUAGAGACUUCCAUAUUAUUCUUUAGUGUUCUAGAGACUUCCACAUUAUUCUUCAUCAUUCUCCCCAGGUUGGAGAAGACUCGUCCUCUUGUCGAAAGUAUUCUUCAUCGCCAAAGUAUGGUGAAAGAUCAGUAACAUUGAAGGUAGCUUCUAUGAAAAACCUAACACAAGAAUUGUUUGGCACAUGAGAUUUAAAUUUGUGAGCUAAUAUUAUUAUUAUAUUUUGACAAGGAGACCUAAUACUUUUUUGCAGAUAGAUGAAAUGAUAAUGAUCAUCGAAAACUUACGCACUAUUUUUAUCGAAAAGAGUAAAGAGACCUAAUAUUUUUUUUGAAGGAAAAAGUAAAGAGACCUAAUAUUGUUAAAUGGGUCUAAAAACAAUUGAAAACUUUAAAUGAAAAUAGAUCACAUCUUCUAAAAGUAAAUGGACAAUUACUGAUCACUUUCUAUGCUUAAAAAUUGAGCUUUCAUGCAUUGAUUUUUUCUAUUAAUUCUCAUUUUGACUGGUUUUUACACCAUUGCUACCAAUGGUUUCUUGAACAUUUAUUAUCUGUCCUACCAAUGCUAACAUAGAUAAUGGAACCAAAAUCCAAAAAAAAUGGAUUUCAUGGUGCUUGAUUUCUAUUUUUUGUUGUAUGCUGUUGACGGAAGUUGCGGAUCUAGAAAUUUAUUGUAAAUAUACUAAAACAAGAUGAUGAAAAAUUGAAAUUUAUUCUCAAAAUUGACGUGUUGAAACUUGAAAGGCACCGAGUUCUGAUAUUUAAGAUGAAGACAGUAGUAAUCGUUGUUAUCAAAAACCCGACUUAAGUCUUAAAAUCCUGGUUUUUGCGACUUUGUGUAGCAUCAACGACUCAAAUCCAUAGCAAAGUUUCAAAAACAGGCAAAAUCCUAUCAAAAUCGCACAAAAUCGUGGAAUUCAUUCAAAAUCGCAGGAUUUUGAUGGAUUUUGUUCAUUUUUUUUAUAUGGGUCAAUUUUUGACAUGGUUCGUAAAUUGACCCGAUUUGAAUCCAUGACCCGUUCUAUAAAUACCCGAAAGGCCAAAAAAAUUCAUUCAUUCACUUCCCCCACAUUUAUGUAUAUGUAUUUUGUGGACUUUGAACUUUAGUCAUUUAUGACUAUGCAAUUUAUAACAUAUAUUUAACAUUAUUUUUGUUUUGGUAGAAUCCUCGAUUUUGAUUGCGAUUUUACGAGUCCCGAUUUUGCUAUCCUACAUCGAUUCUACAAAAGUCCAUGAGUAAAAUCCUUCAAUUUUGAUUGCGAUUUUAUGAGUCCCGAUUUUGCUACUCCCUUUCCCUUGUAGUAAUAGCUUUGAAGAAUGAACGAACGGUGAUGAUACAUAUUUUCCCUAAAAUCCCAAUCAUGUGUCCAAAAUUGUGUAACUUUGAGUCAAGUUAUGCAAAAACAAUAAUUUGAUUCUUGCUAUUUUGCAAAGGCAUAGUUUGGACUCUUUAAUGGUGACGAUGUAUCAUAUAUUAAAUGAAAUGAUUUAGGAUUCUGAUAUUUGAUUUUCAUUGAUUACCUCUUUUGUUAGAAAUUAUGUUUUUGACAUGAAAAUAUUGAAUAGAAAGAAAAUGAGGAGUUUUAUGGGUGAAGCUUAUCCAUCUAGUGAUUGAAUUGCAAAUCGGAUUUAAUUCUAUUGUCUCUUCUUGUUUGUAGUUUUCAAUGCUAAGAAGGUUACAUAAAGAAAUAUGAUGGCUUUGAGGGGAGAGCACAAAAUCCUAAAAACAGAAACUGAAAAUGCUAGAGAAGAAGAGAAAAAUAAGUAAAUAAUUUGCAGAGAAAGGAAAAACAUAGUAAAAUUAUUUAAGUGGAAUAAUUUGCAGAGAAAGGAAAAACUGAUAAGAAUAUGUAACCCUAAACAUGAUCACCAUGGUUACGGAAGCAUAAAAGAUAACUGAUAAAAAAAAAAAACUAAAUCAAAACCCUGAAAUCAUUCCAAUACCAGAAUAGUAACUAGUCUAUAACCCUAAGCUCGUUCACCACGGAUACGACGAGCAAGUUGAAUAUCCUUCACCAUAACGGUGAUCCUCUUAGCAUGAAUUGCACACAAAUUGGUAUCCUCAAACAAACCAACCAAAUAAGCUUCCACUGCUUCCUGAAGUGCGAGAACUGCAUGGCUCUGGAAUCUCAAAUCUGUCUUGAAAUUCUGAGCAAUUUCACGAACAAGACGCUGGAAUGGAAGUUUACGAAUCAAAAGUUCGGUACCCUUCUGAUACUUACGUAUCUCACGAAGAGCAACUGUUCCAGGACGAUAACGAUGAGGCUUCUUGAUUCCGCCGGUUGUUGGCACAGAUUUUCGAGCAGCCUUUGUGGCGAGUUGCUUCCUUGGUGCCUUACCAAGGGUGGAUCUGCGAGCAGUUUGCUUUGUACGCGCCAUUGAAUCGAAAAAAGAAGAAGACUAUUUUGAAAGAAGAAAGGAUUGAAGAUUGUGUAUGAAAGGAAGUGUUUAUAUAGGAGUGGAGAAAAUAGGAUUAGGUCGGUUUAAUUGAGAUUAGAGAGAUCUUGGACGUUGCUUGCUUCAACGGUUAUGAUUAUUUUUUUAAUUAGAAAUAUUAAUUGUGAUCCAUGUGCUUGUCUCUUGUUGGUUGUUUUGUGGUGUUGAGGAUUGCCAACGUGGCUCAUUUGUUUUUUUUAGGUGAUUUGUGUUUUCUUAGAGGUGAUUUGUGUUUCUUUUGUGAGGAGACUUAUCUUUUUAUUUUCGGUAAAUUACAAUUCCUUCCUUUAAAAGAUAUCUUAAAUUACAUUAUUCUCCUCUUUUAUGUUAAAAUAUACACUACUUAUUUUGAAAAGUAAAACUUAUACCCCCCUCUCUAUGAGAUGCUUGAAACAAAACUUCAUCCUUUAGUAAUUAAAUAUUACCUUGAUGAUUGUACGUUAUUCUUAGCAUAUUUUUUUAUCAAUUUCAGUAGAAUUUACCAGCAGAGCAAAGGAGUAUUAGAACAAUUGCCUAUGAUUUCGGGAUAUUUAUAAUUUUUUUUAUAUUUCAUUAUGUAAUUCUAUUAGUCCCAAUACAUAGCAAUUUUAGGGUGUUUUUUAUGUAAUUCACGAAGAAAUCAUGCAAAUCGGCAAAGCAAGAACAUCCGAAGAUUAGUGAAGACCUUGGGAAGAUUAAGAAUGAAGAUUCAAGAUGCAUCAUAAGACUUUACAACGGGAAAAAAUUUGGUCCCACAUCCCAAAACAUCUUAUAUGGAAGCAAACACCCAAAAGGACGGAAAAACAGAGAUUUAGGGCUCGGAACACACUCACAUGAGCCUAAUCCACUACUAGAAAAGUUUCAUAUACUGACGGAAUUUAGAGACAGAUUUUAUUCCGUCNAGGAAUAUUUUUUUCUCAAUCUCAUAACAAACAUGGGUAUAAUCAUUCCCUAACCAUGUAUUCCCGGGAAUGUCAUUCUUAACCUUGAAACAAACACCCCCUAAAUUUCACUCUUCUUCCCUCAUGUUGAAAUAUACAUCCCCUAUUUUGAAAAGUAAAAUUUAUAUUCCUUUUUUCUAUAGGAUGCUUGAAUUAAAAUCACCUCCCAUAAUAAUUAAAUAUGCACUACACUUUAAUUUAUUAUAAUAUAAAUAAUUAUUUUAUGAUAUAUACUAAUUUUGAACCACCAAUUAUGAAAACUAAUUUCAUUUUUUUAGAUUUAAACGUCAUUGAUAAUUAAAUUUAAAUAUUUUGUUGUUAAUUUUAUUAUUUAGAGUAUAAAAUUCAUUUUUAAUUAACCAUACUUAAAAACACUUUCUCUCUCUAAAAGACUCUUUUCUAUGACCACUCUCUAACCUCCCUUCACAACCGCUUCCCUCCAUGUCCAACAUAUUCCCAACCAUGAUGUAGAUGUUCAAAGUGGUGGUGGGACGAGUUACACAUGUCCUCCGCAUCACCUCUAAAUGCCAGAUCUGCUAGUAGGGCUCUUUUCCGGUGGUUCUGUGUGUUGUUUUGGGUUGUUUUGGUUGUCCAUCACUGGAUUUACAAUCCUUCUAUUCAUCUCCUCAAUCUACCACAUUACCUCUUCACCAAUCAUCAGUUUUCCAUGUGAUUGCUCGUUGGAUCUGGGUUCUUGAUCACAGGUUUGGGCUCUAUUAUGGGACUGUUCAUGCUUCUGACGCAAAAGAGCUAUUUUGGGUAUGUUCAUGUUGCUGAUGUAAGGGUUUGUUCACGUUACCUUUCUCAAAGAUUGGUGACCUUAUGUCUUUUUCAUGACAUACAAGGAUAUUUUGGUGAAUCUGUGAUAGUUGGGAUUGGUGUGGUAGGGGUAUUCUAUGUUGCUGAUGAAAAGUAGCAGGAAGUACAUGAUGCCAAAUCAAAAGAGUUUUCGUAUAAUUUUGCAAAGAGUGUGGCUUGGUGGUGAUGGAAGAGAUGUGUGGGCAUGGAUUUGGUUUUGGUUGUCGGUGUCGGCGCAAAAAUCUGUCUUUUUUAUGGAGAGUUGGGAUUUUUAAGUUAGGCGACACCAUGUUUUAUUGGGUUAAUGAUGAUUUCAUUGGUUGUUGGUGUUGAGUUGGAGUUGAAAUUUAUCGUGUUUUCUUGCAUGGUGGUAAGUUUUAGGUGGUGGUGAGUUUUCUGCUGUAUGUUCAUGGUGAUUAUCUAAUUUGGGUCCAUCUUUGUGGCGGUUGGCUCUUGCCAAUUUUGGGCGUUGUCCAACCUGAUUAUGUUUUGCACUAUUAUUCCAUUUGUUGACUGUCUUAGGAAUUUGUCAUUUGGACUCUGGUGGGCCGAUUGCUUUUGCUUCGAGAUCGGAAGACAAUUUUUAGAAAUUUGUUUUUUGGACUGUGUAUGGUGUCCUCUUUGGCAGAUCAUGGUUGAUUGGUAGUGAAAUAUGUAUUAGCGAAGGAUUUUUUUUCAGGUUGUUUAUUUCGGCUCAGCUGUAGGAAGAAAUGAUGUUUGAUAGUUUUUUGGAGGUUGUCAUGCAAGUAGCGGGCAUCAGGUGUUUGGAACUAAUUUUGGUGGGUAGUCACAUUGGAGGUCGAGUUUUCGACUCAACUUGAGUUAUACAGUUGAAUGAGGUUUGUCGUUGAUUUAUUUGGAGUUGAUUUUGGUGGUUAGUUUCUAUUGUGUUUGGUGAUAGACAUCAGUUGGAUGGUGUUUUUUUGGGUGUUUUGAUGUAUGAGGCGUUAGAUCUUACCAAAUGAGGAGGAUUUUAUAUUGUCCUAGUAUAUUUAUCUGAGCAUGUGCAUUUCUGCAGUAUGAUUGUAGAACAGAAACUUAAGCCACUUGAUUAAUUAUUUGUUUUUAUAUUAGCUAUUAUAAUAAUCAUGAUAUAAAGCCAAACCUGUUAUGUGAAUUGUUAGCUUAUUUUUAACAUUUGUUGUCCCUUUUUUGGCAUGUUGUGUGUUUCAUAGAAUAGCAACCAUUGCACGAAAGCAUGAUAAAUGUUGUAUGAGUGGAAUAGCAGCCUUGCAUGGAAGCAUGACAAAUGGUGUGUGCUUGCGAGUGUUUACUGGCAGGGACCUAAGUGACAGUAAGUGUUUACUAUCAGGGACCUAACUGAUAGUAAGUAUGCAUAGUCAUGGACCUACCAGCAAGUCAGCCGCAACCACUAAACAGCUUCAUUGGGGAAUAUGACCCAGUUAUUGACGAAGAGCAACACUUUGUUGGAAUGAGUUUGAGGAUAUUGAUUUAUGGUUCAAGGAUAUUGAUUUUCGGGGAUAUUGAUUUUUUAUUCAGGGACUAAAGUGGACAUUUUCUACUUUUACUUUAGUUCAUGUGACACCUCAUACCUCUUGUCAGCAUAAAACCUUUGCCACAUGAUCAGUUGAUAUAAUUAUUUAACGUCAGGGACUAAAGUGAUAACGGAAGUGCACAUUCAGGGACUACUUUGUAUUUAAUCCCGAGUCAAUGACCUUUGUAACAGCAAGGUGCAGAGUCAGGGACUAACGUGACCAUUUACUUAAAAACAACUUAUCUAUAAUUUUUUGACUUCAUCUUUUUUCUUAAUAAUGUUGGACCUAUGAACUAAAUGAGUGGAACUAUAUAUAACUCAAGUCCAAUUCAUUUAUUUAACGAGUUUAAUUUUAAGGUCAAGUUCUACUGAUUUGAUUCAUAAAUCAAUUUAAAAUUAUUAAUUAACGAAUCGAGUCCGAAAUUAUUUUCGAGAUUAUUUAGUUAUUGUCAUCCCUAAUUAAUAUGCAAAAAGAUAUAAAGUGUUGAACGUAAAGUGCAUGAAAUGUAAAUGUGUUAGAAGUUUAAAGUGCAAAAAUUCAAUAUUGUAAAACAACAUAAAAAAAACAUUUUUUUUUGGAUACAAGUCUACUUUUAAAUAUAUUGUCUAAAGAAUGGUAGAAAUCGUCGUAUUUCCUGCGGAAUUUCCAACGGAAAUAAUUCGUAACGAAUUUACUUUAAAGAAGUUUCCUGCGGAUUCUAUGACCGCAGGAACAUUUGCAGGUAAUAUAAUCUUUUGCUGCGGAUUUGUUCGUUUCUCUGCAAGCUGGGAGCGAAAGGAAUGUAAACCAAACAGCCUUCCAGUGUUACCCAAAUUUCAUGUUAAAGUUGGAGAUACAGUGAAACUCAUAUUGGACAGGUUUACUAAGAUCUUCAAGCACGAGAUAAACUUGAAGACAGAGCAUGUGAUGAGUAGAGAAGAGGGGGGAACAAUUGAUAUUGCCGGCAGCAGUUUGGAUAUCCCUACAGUUGACCUCGUUAUCAAUUAAUUCACAUUCUCCAAGGUUUCUUAGAACAUAUUUAUCCUCUGUCCUACCGAUGCUACCAUAGAUAAUGGAACCAAAAGCCUAGAAAGUUGGAUUUCAUGGUGCUUGAUUUCUAUUUUUAUUUUUGUGUUUUCUUGAUGGAAGUUUCAGAUCUAGAAAUUUAGUGUAAAUAUUCUAAAACAAGAUAAUGAAAAUUUGAAAUUUUUGCCUCAUUCUCAAAAUUGACGUGUUGAAAGGCACCGAGUUCUGAAAUUCAAGAUGGAGACAGGAGUAAUAGCUUUGAAGAAUGAAUGAAUGGUGAUGAUACCUAUUUUCCCCUUGACCAGAGAUAUAAAAAAUCCCAAUCAUGUGUCCAAAAUGGUGUAACUUUGAGUCAAGUUAUGCAAAAACAAUAAUUUUAAGUCUUGCUAUUUGCAAAGCCAUUGUCUGGACUCUUUAAUUGCAACAACGUUUUAUAUGUUAAAUGAAAUCAAUUUAGGUUUAUUCUCAUAUAUUAAUUUUGCAAAGGCAUUGUCUUAUAUUCGUUUUUCAUUGAUCUCCUUUUUGUUAGCAUAUAUGUUUUUGACAUUUGCAGUAUGAUGCUGAGCUACUUUUUUAAAUAAAGGCCAAGAUAACAUCAAAAUAUUGAAUACAAAGAAAAUGAGGAAUUUUAUUCUCUCGUGAAAAAGGUAUGUUUUUAUGGGUGAAGCUUAUCCAUCUAGUGAUUGUAUUGGAAAUCGGAUUUAAUUCUAUUAUCUCAUCUUGAUCGUAGUUUUCUCAAACUUUAUAUUUAUUAUAGCUAUGUAAUAGCUUUUUCUUUUUUUAAUUUUCAAAUGACUUCUUUACUUUGAUGCAUAAAGAAGGUUGCAUAAAGAGAAGAAGAGAAAAAUAAGUAAAUAAUGUGCAGAGAAAGGAAAUACACAGUAAGAAAUAGAAGAGGAAAAAUUAGCAGAUGAUGUUCACAACAGUUACGGCAGCAUAAAAGAAAGAUAACUGAUAAAAAAAAACCAAAAUUAAAAUCCUAAAAACGCAUAAAAGAAAGACGAACUGAUAAAACAAAACCCUAGGUCAUUCCAAUACCAGAAUAGUAACUAGUCUAUAACCCUAAGCUCGUUCACCACGGAUACGACGAGCAAGUUGAAUAUCCUUCACCAUAACGGUGAUCCUCUUAGCAUGAAUUGCACACAAAUUGGUAUCCUCAAACAAACCAACCAAAUAAGCUUCCACUGCUUCCUGAAGUGCGAGAACUGCAUGGCUCUGGAAUCUCAAAUCUGUCUUGAAAUUCUGAGCAAUUUCACGAACAAGACGCUGGAAUGGAAGUUUACGAAUCAAAAGUUCGGUACCCUUCUGAUACUUACGUAUCUCACGAAGAGCAACUGUUCCAGGACGAUAACGAUGAGGCUUCUUGAUUCCGCCGGUUGUUGGCACAGAUUUUCGAGCAGCCUUUGUGGCGAGUUGCUUCCUUGGUGCCUUACCAAGGGUGGAUCUGCGAGCAGUUUGCUUUGUACGCGCCAUUGAAUCGAAAAAAGAAGAAGACUAUUUUGAAAGAAGAAAGGAUUGAAGAUUGUGUAUGAAAGGAAGUGUUUAUAUAGGAGUGGAGAAAAUAGGAUUAGGUCGGUUUAAUUGAGAUUAGAGAGAUCUUGGACGUUGCUUGCUUCAACGGUUAUGAUUAUUUUUUUAAUUAGAAAUAUUAAUUGUGAUCCAUGUGCUUGUCUCUUGUUGGUUGUUUUGUGGUGUUGAGGAUUGCCAACGUGGCUCAUUUGUUUUUUUUAGGUGAUUUGUGUUUUCUUAGAGGUGAUUUGUGUUUCUUUUGUGAGGAGACUUAUCUUUUUAUUUUCGGUAAAUUACAAUUCCUUCCUUUAAAAGAUAUCUUAAAUUACAUUAUUCUCCUCUUUUAUGUUAAAAUAUACACUACUUAUUUUGAAAAGUAAAACUUAUACCCCCCUCUCUAUGAGAUGCUUGAAACAAAACUUCAUCCUUUAGUAAUUAAAUAUUACCUUGAUGAUUGUACGUUAUUCUUAGCAUAUUUUUUUAUCAAUUUCAGUAGAAUUUACCAGCAGAGCAAAGGAGUAUUAGAACAAUUGCCUAUGAUUUCGGGAUAUUUAUAAUUUUUUUUAUAUUUCAUUAUGUAAUUCUAUUAGUCCCAAUACAUAGCAAUUUUAGGGUGUUUUUUAUGUAAUUCACGAAGAAAUCAUGCAAAUCGGCAAAGCAAGAACAUCCGAAGAUUAGUGAAGACCUUGGGAAGAUUAAGAAUGAAGAUUCAAGAUGCAUCAUAAGACUUUACAACGGGAAAAAAUUUGGUCCCACAUCCCAAAACAUCUUAUAUGGAAGCAAACACCCAAAAGGACGGAAAAACAGAGAUUUAGGGCUCGGAACACACUCACAUGAGCCUAAUCCACUACUAGAAAAGUUUCAUAUACUGACGGAAUUUAGAGACAGAUUUUAUUCCGUCUCUGAUAGAGACGGAAGUUGAGACCGAAUAUAAUGAACAGAGACGGAAUUAUAUUUUUAACAUCAGAGACGGACUUUAGAGACGGAUUGUACCGUCACAAAAUUAUUCUGUCUCCAAUUCCGUCUCAAACAGGUCAAAUUUCUUUUUUUAAUUAAUUAAAAAUAACUUUUUAUCCAUUCGCUGGGGCCAUAUCUCAUUUUCACAGGGGCCAUAUCUCAUUUUCACAGGCUCCAAAAUCGAAUUUCACUUGGCUCCAACCCAAAACCCCCAAUUUUUUCAUCCCUCAACUUCAAAUUUCUGCAAAGCCUUAAAAUAAUCAAACUAAAAAUUAGAAUCACUUCAUCACCAAUUUCACAAAAGCCCUAAAAUGGCAAUUUCGAAUCCCUUCAUCUCCAAUUACACGCCCUGCAAUAGAUCCGCACAUCUAAGUUCAAAUCCCGGUUCGUGUUCAUCUCAGUUCUGCUCAUUUCAAUCCCUUUAUAUCGUUCUGAAGUUCUUAUGGUUGAGGUUAGUUUCUUAAAAAUUUCACUCAAUUUCUUUUCAUCGAUUAUCCCUAUUUUUAUAUGAUUUUCAUUCAUAUAACCUAGAUAAUCAUUUCAGCAAUCAAGCUUGAGGAGUCCCUUUUGUGGGUUUUGAGGAAAAGAAACCCUAAGCUUAACUAGAUUGUUGACUAAUUGUUAACUAGAUUGGUGACUAAGAACAAAUGGAUCUUGUUUGUUAUUGAUUGAUUGUCAAAGUCUAUCUCUCUAAAUCAACUAGAUCUCAUAUUCUGUUUCGUCUCACGACACAUGGUUUCACCAUUCUCAUAUUCUGUUAUCUGGUUUACAUUUAUUUGAUUUGUUGUUGGUUGAACACAAACUGUUUGAUAAAUGUUCUCUAAGUGAUUAUUUGAUUUGUUGUUUGUUGAACACAGAUCGAUUGAUAGAUAUACCCCUUUAGGAUGAAUCUUUGUUAUUGCAAGAUUAGAACUAUAAUUCGUAGUUUGAACAAACCUACAUUUAUGCAGUGAAAAUGAUUCAUAUUUGAUUGCGGAAGUUGGUCAAUGAUUGUUAAUUCAAAGUUUUCUAUACUUGCUUAUUGUAAAAGAGUAAAUGCGUCUUGUGACUUAAAUUGGUGAACAAGAGAAGAGUGGAUACAUGGCUGAACUAGGCAUUCAGACCACCUCUUAAGAUUUAGUUUAAUCAUUAUUCUUUUGUAAUUAUUAUGCAUUGUUAUAAUUUAAUUUCAUACUUAAUUCCAAUCUUUUUUAUAUUGCAAAUUACAUAUAUUGAUUACUUGCCUUUUACAUGAAGCGGGUAAGGGAAUGACUUCAAGAUGGCAUCUUUGCCUCUUGCAUUUGCCGCGAAGUUACAAUCUUUUAGUCAUGUUUGGUAAAUUUGAGAAACUUUCCUUGCAUAUUGAUUUUUUGAGGUAAGUGGCUGCUAUAAUGUUCCAUAUAUGAGUUCUCCUUUGUGAUAUGCUCUGAAAUUUUUAAUAAUGGUUCCAUUUUUAUUUGUGAUUCUUUCACAUCUUGUAGGUAUUUCUUUUUAUGUUUCAAUGGAAUUGUUGGCAAUUGACAUUGACUUCAUUCUCCCAAGGAGAUAGAAAAGGCAUGGCUUUGUUCUAGCAAGGAGAUAAAUUUUUUUGAAGGUAAUAUCUAUCCUAAGAUUAAGUUCUUUCUAUGGAAUCUACUGUUUUCAUAUAAUCCCAUUUUUCAUAUAACUUCUAAGUUUAACUCAAAUUAAUAUUCAUUGUACAAAUCACUAUGUUACUCCUAUGGUUUUUUUCCUUAGUACUAGUACUUACUAUAAAUUGGUAUUUCAUAUUUACAUGUUGCAGACUAUUGCUUCAGCAAUGGCUAUAUUAACGACAUUAUUUCGCAUCCCUACAAGUUCGACGGAGUAGACAUAGCUUUGCACUAUGUGUCUUUUCUAAGGCUGUGAUAUUUUAUGAUUCUCAUUUGUGUAACUCUUCUUUCUCUGUAGUUAUAUGUUCUACCUUUUUCUCAUAGUCUCCUCAUUUUUUGGUUUUUACUUGGUUACCAAAUAAUAUUAGGGAGGGUAAAAAUUUUGUGAUUCUAAUAUUUUGUUUACCACAUUUCUAUCUUACAUGUUAUCAUAAUUUAAUCUGAAAAUGUUCUGGUUUUGGUUUAUUUUUUCAUUCAGGGCAAUUAGUGGUAAAAUAAAUAGAGACACACUCUGCCUCCUUAUGAAGGUUCACGGGGUAAGCUAAAACUCAUAAAUGUAAUGGUUUGCUCCUCUAUUUUAGAUCAACAUAGUUAUUUUUCCACUUUAAAUAGGCUUGAUACUUUUUAUGUGUCUACUUACACUGAAUCUCUGAUGGGGAUCUUACUUCAUCAAACCAAUAUUGUCUUUAUCAAAGAAAAUUUAAUGUUAUAGUUGAGAAAGAUAUCAGUUAAAAUUACAUAUAUUUGCUUCCUUUCUUGUACAGUGGUUUAGACACACUUUACUUACCAUUUGUGAAUAUGAUGCAAGGGGGAAACCAUUACUCUUAAGUCUCUACUAGAAUUACCAUUAAAUAAUUAUUGUUAAUGAGAGAGUUAGUUAAUUUGGUUAGUUGGAUCAACAUAGUUAGAAGAAAUAAGGCAUGUUGUUUAAUAGGGAGAUUGUCUUGUCAUGUUGGUGUUUAUAGGCUAGAGAGGUACAGACCCUUGAAGUUCAACAUUAUUGUCUAUGUUCCCUCUAAUAACACACCAAGCUUAUAUCAACCGGUAGCUGUGGCCUGUUGGCAAUGUGUAUUGAAGGAUUAAUUUUUUUUUUUUAACGGUUUAGACUUAUAAAAAAUCAAGAAGCACAUUCUUUGAUAAUUGAAUAGCUAAGGAAAGAGAUUGCAAAUAUUAGGAGAAAACUGAAGGAAGAACAUUUUAUGUUUCAAGUAAGGGAAUGAGAUUUUUCUAGUUCAAUUAUCAGAUUUUUCUGUCUUAUUUUUCUAGUUCAAUUUUAAAUUUUUAAAGUGAAUGGAUGCAUAAUGAUGAUGUUGGUGCAUGCAUCAGCAACCUAACUUCUAGAGCCUUACCAUAUUCAUACGUGUGCUAGUUGUCUUUGUUCAAUUCUUUGAAUUUCCUUAUUUUUUCUCUAUAUAUUUGUUCCCUCUAAACUACCUUAAUUGGUGCAGGCUUUUUUUGUUCAGAUUUAUAAGGCCAGAGAAUAUUCCUCUUGAAUAUGGAGGAUUGAUUCAACCCACAGAUUUUAAGAAUGGUCCCCCUCAACCAUCUUUUAAGUUAUAACUGUUGAAGGAGGAUAAAAAGCUAACAUACAAAUAGAAGGAAUUGAGGUUACAAGUAAAGGUUUAGUGUUUAAGUAUAAUUUUGUACCUUUGUCUUUCUAAUUUAUGCUUCUAGGUAUAACUAUAUAAUUUUGUAAUUUAUGCUUUUUAGUGUAUGAUAUUAACUCUAUUAUUGUGGUAUGAGACCAACAUAUAUUUUAAAUUUUGCAGGUUGGUGGAAGUUAUACCUUUUCAGCUUAGGUGUUAUUCUGAAGCAUAUGUCAAGAGCUUGAGAUAAUGAUAAUGACAAUGAAGGAGGGGACACAAUAACACAAAUUUGGAGUUUAGAAAGUUUUAGAUUUAUUAUCGUAUUAAUAUUAUUAUUAGGUAAUGGUUAGUUGCAAACUGCGUGUAUUUUUUUUCGAGAACUUUUCUCAUGACUGUUAACUAACAUUAAUAUGUAGAUCAAAAUUUGUGUCUUUUCAAAUAGUGAAUAGCAUAAAAUACUAAAUUCAGUUUUUUUUUUUUUUUAAAUAAUUAAAUUAGAGACGGAAUUUAUAAUCUGUCUCUAUUGUCACGGAAUAAUCCAAGCCACAGAGACGGAAUUUUGUUUCUCAUAAUCCAACUUUAGAGACGGAAUUAAUAAUGUUGUGACGGAAUGUUUCUGUCUCUAUUAGAGACGGAAUCACUAAAUCCGUCUCUAAUUGCUUUAGAGACGAGUAAAACAGCCACGGAUCUAUUUCCGUCUCUAAUUCCGUCACCAAAGUGGUUAGAGACGGAUUUUUAACUUUUUAGAGACAGAUUUAGCCCGUCUCUGUAUUGAAUUUUUCUAGUAGUGUAAGACAUGAACCAUGCGCCUAAGGCUUCAACGGUGGUGAUGAUUUUUUAAUUAGAAAUAUUAAUUCUGAUCUACGUGCUUGUUUCCUAUUGGUUGUUUUGUGGUUUCGAGGAUUGCCAAUGUGGCUGAUUUGUUUUUUUCAAGUGUGAUUUGUGUUAAUUCAAGUUUAGUUGUUUAGGGAGGAUGUUAGUUUAGUUGUUAAUUCAAAUUUACUUAGUGAUAUAAUCAGACUUAGUGGUUAAUCACAUUAUAUUGUUUUUAGUUUGUUAUGAAUUUGUUACAAGUUUGUUAGAGAUUAGCAUAUAGAGUUAGGGUUUGUUAUAUAGCUUGUGCUUUAAGCAACCUAAUUAGUUCUAGUAUAUAAACUAAACUCUUGUACAUUUGUUCAUAUAUCAAUAAUACAAUUUCACUUUCUCAAUUCUAACCAUCUAUUCUUUCUUCUCAUUCUCUCUAAUCCACAAAUUUCACAAAUCCAAAAAACCGUAGAACAUUGCUUGUGUAAAGAGUUUCUAAGCUGCGCUAACAGUAGUCAGGCUCCGGUACACACCUCAACUCCAUGAAUGUCUCAUCUCACUUUUUCUUUUUUUAGUAAUGCAGAUAAAUUCACACAUAUUAUGAAGAGGUAAGGAGACAAUUGAUCACCUCCCUAAGACCUCUAUUUGGUAUUAUUUGUCCCACUUUCUCUCCAUUUAUAAACCCUUGAUAAUUAACACUCUCCAUACACAUCGUCAUUCAGUUCACCCAUCUAUGUUACUAUGUAUUUGGAGACAAUUUAGAGAAUUUUAGAGUGAGAUGAUCAUGGUUUUUGGGAACGUUUAGUAAUGUUUUGAUUUACGUCAUUGUAAUUUUAUUUCUUCCCUUCUAGACUACUCCAUAUGUAUUUUGAGUCUUUUAUGAUUACAUUAUGUAAUUUGGUAAAGCAAAACACCUCAUGAAAGUUAUGGAUGCUAAAUAAUGAAAAUCAAUGAAGGUUUGAAAGACCAGACAAGUUGGGGAAAUUAUGUCCCAAGUCCUAACAGCAUGUCGAGGAAGAAAAGCACUUAAAGAAUGAAGAAAAUUGGAAAAAUCCUCCAGGGCCACAUGCCCCAUGCAGGACCUACACACCCCACAUAUUGCUACACUGUAAAGGCCAAUUGGCCACUUCCUUAUGAGCUUUGCAUGUGUUGAGCGAGAAAAAACAGCGUUUUAUGGUUUUUUUUUCUAUUGUGGACAAGGAGAAAAUCGUAACACCUCAAUUUUUAAUAUUAGUUUAUUAAUAUUAGUAUUAUUGAUAUUAUUAGUAUUUGUUUUUAAGAUGGUAUUAAUUUAAUUAUUCGUAUUUAUUCGGACGUUAGGUAAUGAGAAAGUAAGGAGGAGUUAACUAAUCGAAUGAAUAAUGUGAGGAAAACUAUUUUAUGAAGAAGAUGGUGUGCCAUUAUGAAGAAUAAUAUUUAUAGGAUUGCCAAAGUGGCGGAUUUGUUUUCUAAGGUGAUUUGUGUUUUUUAGAGGUGAUUUGUGUUUCUUUUGUGAGUAAAUUACACUCCUUCUUUUAAUAGAAUCUUAAUUACACUCCAUUUCCUUCUUAUGAAAUAUACACCUUCCUUCUUUGAAAAGUAAAAUUUACACUCCCCUCUCUUAUGAGAUGCUUUAAUUAAAACAUUCUCCCUUAAUAAUUAAAUAUGCAUUACACUUUAAUCUAAUUUAAAAUAAAUAAAUAUUUUAGGCUUAAAUAUGUAAAUCGUCCAUGUAAGUUUGUGUAUUUUUUGUUUUCGUCCUUGUAUCUUUUUUGUUCUAAAACAAACUAUUUAAGUUAUAAACGUUUUGCUUUUGGUCCCUGUCGUCCUCAUAUAUUACAAAAAUGUUUAUGUGUUUAAGGGCGGCUGACGUGUGACAUGCCAAGUGAGGUUAUGUGUAGUAAGUGACAAGGUUAUUAGGACUAAAUUCAAAAACAAAAAUUUAUAGAGGGACAAAAUUCAAAAACACGAUUUAAGAAAAUUUCAAAUUAAAAAUCUUGUUUUCCUUUUUCAUCUUCUUCCUUCCUUUUUUUCAUCAUCUUCAACCUCACCUUCAUUAUAACCGGAAAACAUAAAUUAAACAUUCAAACUCUUUAAUCAAAAUCUCAUUUUCUAUUUCCGUCAAAAUCUUCUUCGUCACACGAUUCAAUUUAUUCCCAAUUCCAAAUCCAAAUCAUACUCAAACCCUAAAAUCUCCAUAACUACCCCCAAAUCGCAUCCCUUUUAUUUAUAUAAUAUAUAUACUUAUACCAUAUAGUAUAAUGAAAACUUCAUGUAUCAUUGUGUUUGUUAUUCUUCUAUUUCCUUCUAUCGAUUCAUCAUCACCCAAAACUAAUUGUACUCAUAAAUCUUCAAACAACAAAAACACAUAACUUGAAUUAAAUUCGGCAGAAACGUUCAAAAUUCCACAUGAAACCACACAACAAAAACCCAUUAAACCACACACCAGAUACAUUUUUUCUUUCGAACAACACAUAAUACCACAAUAAAUUAGCGGCUAAAAAUUCAUUUGAGCAAAUUUCAAAGGUAUGAUUUUUCAAAAGAUGCUUAUUUGAAACAUUGCAAAGUUCUUGCAGCCAUAAAAAAACACUUAUCAUAGUCGUAGGUUUGUUUGUUUUGGGCUUGUGUUCUUGUUCACAUUGACGAAAUUAAAAUUGCGCUUAAAAGAAGAAGAUUUGGGUUUUGGAUUUCUUCUCAACAUCCUUCAUAUUUUUCUUGAUUGAAGUUUUUUUUCCUUCCUUUGUUUUAUUAUGUUGUGUCUCUGGAUAUGGAAUUGAAAGAAGGGGGAUAAUUGAGGAUUAAGAAAGAGUGUGUUUAAAUAAGAAGAGUUUAAAUGAGAGGAAAUAGGAAAUGAGAUUUUGAUUAAAGGGAAUGUGAGUGUAAUUCAAACAUAUUUCAGGAGAAGGGAGUAUAUUUAGUCUUUUAUUUUUUAAAAAUACUUUUCUCUUCUUUUAAACAAAAAAUAGUGAAAAAUGGAUGGAUUAGAUGAAUUUGAACGAUAUAGAUAGAUCAAAACAAUUCAUUAAUCCAUUAACAAUUCACUAAAAGUUCUUUUAAAAAACAGUGAUUGUUUGCUAUUGGUUGCUUUGUGGUGUUAAGGAUUUACAACGUGGCUGAUUUAUUUUUAAUUAGAGAGAUCUUGUUUCUUUCUUUUUUACAUUUGGAUAGAUACUUUCCUCUUCUCUUUUUUUAGGAAAAAUGUUUUCCUCGCCUUUCCAACAAUAUAUAUAUAUAUAUAUAUAUAUAUAUAUAUAUAUAUAUAUAUAUAUAUAUAUAUAUAUAUAUAUAUAUAUAGACACACACACAAAAUUAUCCAUUUUUCAGCGCUUUUGGACUGAAAUUUUCUUUUUCAAAAAUACCCUCGAUUUUCAAUAUAAAUAACACAUAUAUUACCCUUGGAUAACAAGCUUCGGGAAAGAGGGAGUAGCCUUGCAUCUAUCUGUAGUAUUUGUUUUUUGAUUUAUGGAAGCUUGGAAGCUCUUAUUCCCCUCAAUGUAAGUUAGCCAUCAAAGUCUGUGUCGUUAAUAUUCUUAAUAUUAUUUGGCUAGCUAGAAACUUGGCAAGAUUUCUAAGACAAGAAAACUCUAUGACAGGUAACAUUACCAACCUUUGUUCUACAAUCACUAUGACAGAGUUCACUAUCCUCAAGGCUUUAAAAAUCAACAUUCACCCUCCAACCCUCCUUCAAUUAGCUCAAGGUUAACCAUCUCCAUACACGUACUCAUUCAGUUCAUCCAUCUAUCACGGAAACCCAUUCUUCUCAUAAUGUUCUUCACAUACCACAAAUCAUAUGUGUUGAGUCUUAAUGACAUACUCCACUGUAGAGAGAGCGUGGAAUAAAUUUCACUAUAUUGUUGAACAGUUACAAGAUAAAAUUCAGGUCAUAGAAAUUCACUUCGCCUCAAUCUUAUUAUUUCAUUUUGACAAGUAGAGUGUUACAUGGAUUUCUAACUUCACACUGCAAUGUGAUUCCAAAUUUUUCUCCUUAGCCCUUCCUUAUAGAGAUAUCAUAUGAGACUUAUUUAUACCUCCGAAACAAGCCUCUAACUGAAACAGAAUAACAACAUAGUUCAGUUAGAAUAUUUUUUGCCAACAGUACUGUAUAGAUGAAUUAACAACAUGUAUGAUAUUGCUAACGUGUCUCUUAUUUUGUGAUGUACUAUAUGCCAUGUUAUCUAGACCAGACUAUGUUAUAUUAUGUCAUGUACCCGUUAGUCAUGUAUGUGUAUUCAGACAGAUUAUGUAUUUUGUGUUCUCUGAUUUUACUGUUAUGGUAUUGUAUGAGACAUAUGUAUGUUGUUUAUCAUUCAGACAUGAAUUGUAUUGUAAUUUAAUGUAUCAAAUACUAGUUUUAACGCUCGAAUAAAUAUUAUAUACAAAAAAAAAUCGAGUUACAUAAACUCAGCUCGAGUUGUUGACAAAGCUACUACAAACUACAAAGUAGAUCUCCAAGUGUAAACACGGUAACUUGUUAAGGAUUUCCAAGUAUAAAAACUCUGAGCAAAGUCAAAGUCCACAUAACCUGUGUUUGCCUCUCGUUAAUGAAACUUUAUCAUAAAAUUUAAACAAAUAGAUAAAGAACCAUUAAGAUACCUUGAGAUCCACUUCAAUGAUGUCUUAUGACAUAGUCUUUGAUUCUCCAUAAAUCUACUAACCAAACUCAAAACACAAGCUAAGUCAGGUCAAUUGUAUACCACUCUAUACAUGACGUUGCAACCAAUAUUCGAAUAUGAAAUUUUUGUCAUCGUUUCCUUUUCUACAUAUGUACUAAACAACUACAUCAAUGAGAGUUUGUCAUGUUGUCUAAGGUCUCUAGACUAAGAGUGUUGAAACUUGUUUAUCUUUAUGCAUCCAAACCUUAAAACAAGCUUCACCAUAUAACUUUCUAUAUUUAGAGACGGAAUUAUAUAUCUUAGAGACGGAUUUAUAUUGAUCAGCUUCAUCUUUGAGCGACGGUUUUUUAUAGUUAGUGGCGGAAUUUUCUGUGUCUAAUCAGAGACGAAUAAUUUCCGUCGCUAACAAGCUUAGAGACGACGAAAUUAACAACGGAACAUAUCCGUCUCUAAUAAGAUUGGCGAUGGAAAUUUUGCAAUUUAGAGACAGAUAUCUCCCAUCUCUAUUUGAAAUUUUUCUAGUAUUUCUUCAUUCUUCAAGUAGUGUUAAUUUCUUCAUAAUGUAUUUCAUUUUGAAAAAUUCUUUAUUAAUAUAUAUAGGUGAUGUCUAGGUGAACCAUCAAUUAAGUGGUUCAUCAGUGGACUACUUAUGUAUACCAUCAAGAUAUAUUUAAAGGUCUAGAUGAAAUAGAAAAUAAAAUGAGAACACGUAGAUCUUUCCUCACACAAUCCAUUUCCCAAGCUUCUCUCUCCCCUCUUGUCUCUCUCGAUUUUUUCAGAUUCGCGUAUUCAAAAUCCUGGCAACCGCAGUAAAUGUCAAAAACCAAGGCUGAAGGAUGUUGUUCAUAUUCAAAUUAAAUGGCUAAGAUUCAAGGAUUGUUUCAUUAUUUUCCACCAAGCUAUUUUUUUCUUUCUGUAUUCUAAUUUUCUAGCCAAAGUUUCAAACAUAAAAAAAUUCGAAUCAUACUAAAUGAUAAAUCAAACAAUUAUUAUAUAAGAGGCGGGCUUCAUGGCCCUUAAGAUGUCACACAACAUUCUAAUUUAUUCUCUCUAUUAUGAAACUGCGUAAGUUCUUCUUAUUGUUUUUCUUUAAUUCAAUUGGUUAAGUCAAUCUCAACUUGCAAACAAUGAGAAACACAAAACCUUUUAAAGAGAAAAAAAAAAAAUGGCCUAUUCUCAUUUGCAGAAAAUACAACCAUAAACAUCAGUGAGAGAGGUAUGAAGUUUGGUGGGGAAGAGAGAGCAGAACAUAAUAUUCAGUGCGAUACACUUAGUGAGUCUUUUUAAUUUAAAGGUCAAAAUUAGUGGUACACCGGUGAGGGAUUUAGUUGAACCCUCACUCUAGAAUCCACGUAUAUAUAGGUUAAGACAGCGCUUAUACAUUUCUUAUCAAAUAAAUAUUUGUAUAAAAUAUUCUAAAAAUAUAUUAUAUAUAUAUUGUUUGUAACAAGCAAUCUUUUUUAUUUUUUAUUGAAAAUGUAUUUUUUUUAUAAGUUUAAAAAUUUUAAAUUUGAUUUAAACGAGAUUAAUCUUAGCAUAUUCUAUUGGAUGGUUUGUCACGAUGCUGCUCCUAUGAGGUCGUUGUUGCAUAACAGAGGUAUGCUAGACACUAAUAACUGCCCGAGGUGUCUCAAUAGUAGUGAAAGUAUCAUGCAUUGUCUUCGAGACUGUCCGUUUGUUAAGCAUCUUUGGUUUGCUCUUGGAUUUGACAAUAUUAACUUCUACUUGGGGAAUUCUCUGGUCACUUGGCUCAGACAAGGCGCAUUUAGCGCAAAUAAUUAUUUAUUCUCUGCUGCUCUUUGGUGGAUUUGGUGCGCUCGAAACUCACUUUGUAUGGAGAAUGAGAUAAUUUCUAUUUUCUCCUUGAAGGUAAAGGUAAAAAUUUACAAUUUGGCAACCCUUCUUCGUUUUGUUUUCUCUCCGGCAUUAUCCACGGAUAUAGGAGGUCGUUAUGUGACUUGGCAUCCAGAGGAGAGUAUGGCCGUUGUCUUGAAUGUUGAUGGUAGCAGCUUUGGAAAUCCCGAAAUAUCUAGUUUUUGUGGCGUUCUUCGCAGGAAUGAUGGUAGUUGGCUACAUGGGUUUGCUGGAAAUGUUGGUAUUUCCAGAGUCAUACAUGUAGAGUUGUUAGCUCUGUAUUAUGGAUUGAAAGCAGCUUGAGAAAGAGGAUAUAAAGAUAUGAUGUGAUUUUCUACUCUGACUCAACUCUGGCUGUUCAGUUAAUUUCAACCAUGGUGAAUCCCUGGCAUCAUUAUGCGUCAAUUAUUAGAAAUGUGCAGGAUUUAUUGCAAAGGAGUUGGAUUGUUCAGUUAAAGCAUUCUGUUAGGGAGACGAAUCCGUCCGUGGAUUUCAUUGCUAAACUAGGAGCUGCAAGUUCUGAUAUUUGGCGUGAGUUUUUGGAGCCACCAGAGGGUUUGCUUCCGCUGCAGCAGACUGAUGCUCGGCGAGAGAUGCAUUACCGAGACUAGUUUUUAACUCUUUUUUUUUCUUUUCCUUUUGUUAGCUCCUUUUCCCAAAAAAAAGUAUUCUAAAAAAGAAAUACUUUAAUUUAUAACAUGUUAUUUUAUUUUUGAAUUAUGAUCACUUUCACACACUUUUUUUCCUAAAUUAGUUUCUAUUUAAAAUAUUAGACAAGUAAAACUAUUAAUACAGGAUUUCAUUUUAACAACUAUCCUACUUUAAAUUGAUUACAAUUGUAAAAAUCAAUAUGAUGAUUUUUACACAUUUUUUAUGAAAUCAAUAUUCGUGUAAAAUAUUCUAAAAAUAUUAUAUUUAUCAAUAUUGUUUGUAUUAGAAAAGCAAUUUUUUAUUUUUGAUUGAAAAUGUAUGUUUUUUAGUUUAAAAAUCAUAAAUUUAAUUUAAACGAGAUUAUAUCUUAGCAUUUUCUAUUUCAUCGUAAAAAGAAAUACUUUAAUUUAUAACAUGUUAUUUUAUUUUUCAAUUAGGAUCACUUUCACACUUUUUUUUUCCUAAAUUAGUUUCUAUUCAAAAUAUUAGAUAAGUAAAACUAUUAAUACGGGAUUUCAUUUGAACAACUUUUCUACUUUAAAUUGAUUACAAUCAUAAAAAUCAAUAUGGGGAUUUGACUAGAAAACUCAAUAAAUAGCUUCUUGUAGGUAUUGUUUUUUUCAUAUCUUUCAAGAGAAUAUUUUAACUUCUUCAAAACAAAACAAAAAAUAAAAUGGCAACCGGCAUUAACCGCGUGCAUUUUCUCAUUGCAAUUCUAUGCAUUGCUUUUGUUUUUACUCAAGGUAAAAAUUUCGUUUAUUCUAUUCCUAACUUUUUAAAUUUUUGUUGAAUGAUUUAUAAAAUAUAAUUGUUUAUCCAUAGGGAGAUUGAAAUAAAAAUUAUUUUCUAACUAUGCAAAAUAUGUUUUCAAAAUAUAUUUACAAUGUGGAAUAUUAAUUCUCAUAAUAAUUUUCUGCCAAAAAAAUAUCUACAAUGGAUUCAAUAUUUUUUUAAUUAUUUUAAGCAUUUAUAGUCAAUCAGUAAAUAAAAUAUUAUUGGACAAAACUUCUAAGAAAAUUUUCUAUUGCAAUGGGAAACAUGGCAUAUGUAGAAUGAUUAUGAUCGUUUACGUAAUGAUUUGGUUUGAGAGGUGUCACUUCAGUGGUAGGAGCAUGAUUUUCUAACUUCAAUGAACGUUUAAAGCUCAUCUGAAACAGUUGUAAAAUAAUCAUAAUUAUCAAUUGUAAUGAUUUCAUCUCCCCAAUUUUAUUUCUUUUAAAUAAUCAUCAAAAUUUAAAAUUUAGUGUUGCUCACGGUUUCUGACAAUAUUAUAUUUAUUGUAGGAGGAUCAAUUGAUGCACGACCUACUACAAAAUAUUGCAUUACAGAAGUGAAAUGUCCAAAUAACGAUAAAGCUUGUAAUGAUUAUUGUUUAAAGAUUAGGUUUCCUGGUGGUGGUAAAUGUGAAUCAAAUAAUAUGUGUUGUUGUGAAGCAUAAUUGUAGCUUCUUGAAGUGUUGGUACAAGUGUUUUCUACACAUAAAGUCUUUAUGACUAAAUGAGAAUAAAUACAUUUUUUUACUUUCGUAUGAUCAAGUGUUUUAAUAAAUUUUGUUCGAAGGAAUUGAUUCAUAUUUUACAUGUCUUGGUUUUUAAAACGGAUUGAUAAUAUCCUUUUAGUUAAUAAUUCUUACAUCAUCAAGUUUUCAAUCCUGUUUUCUUCUCCCUCUCCAACAAGCCGGCCCUAAUUUUCUCUCUCUAGGUUUUCUCUUACCGUUUCUUCGUUGAGGGGUGGUUUUGGAUCAAUUCUUGACCUCAAAUCAACUCAUCUUCAUCUUUUUCUCUCUAUUUCAAUCUAAAUAAGUGAUUUUCACAUAGAUCUAGUUUUUUUUUUUGUGAUUUCAUCAUCUAAGUGUGGUGGUUUGUUGUUCAUCGUCUUGUGCGGCGUUGUUUGAUUUUCCAUCUUCGUGCGGUGUUCAUUUGAUUCAUAUUGAAAGAUCGAUUAUUCAAUCAAAGAUUUGGGCGUCAACGUUGCGGACAGUGGCGGAGCCAGGAAAAAAAAUCUAGGGUGGGCCAUAAAUAAUGAUGAAGCUUAAUUUUCUUAUAAGUGCAUUUUAUCAUUUGUUAGUUCGAAUGACUGUGGACUUGUUAUUUGUUAGUUCAAACCAGUAUUUUAAAAUUUGAACUGAUUAUCAACUCAAACAAAGUACAAGAUAUUGAUUGAAUAACUAGGUCAUUGAUUGAACCUCACGACUGAAUUGAAUGACUCAACUUCAUAAACAGAUGUAUAAGUAUUAAAUCGAAUUGAAUCGAACGACUGAGUCAUAAAAAAGUUAAAAUAAAACUCAUGACACAUAAUGUAAAAAAGAUCCAGGGCCGUCUUAACAAAUUCAUAGGCCCGGUUUUAAUUAUAUAAGGGAUGCAAAAAAAAAAAAUAUAUGGGCCCCAAAAAAAUAAAUAAGUCAUUUAAAAAAAAAAAAUAUUAAAAAUCACACUUUGGUGGGUCUUGAACACAUAACCUCACACUCAACAAAAAGUGGCCACACCACUAAAACAAGCUGUACAAAUUGAAUUAAUUUGCUUUUAAUAGAUAUAUAACCAUUAUUUUCGUGGCUUACAUAUAAUAAAAAAAAAUUGGGCCCCAAAAAAUUGGAGGCCCGGUGUCGUCGCCCAGCCUCGACGGGCUAUGGGCCGGCCCUGAAAAGAUCGUUACAUAAGAAAAUAUACUUAUAAUCAAUUAGUGUAAUGAAAUAUAUUUUAAUUUAAUUACGAAUAUAGUAUGGUUUUACCUAAAAAAUAGCGUUUAUACAAUUAAAUAUUUUUAUGAUAACAUUGUUUUUAAGGAUAUUUUAACGUUUAUAUUAUAUGUUAUGUCUUUUAAAAGAUAGUUGAGGUCCUCUAUUGUAUAAAAAAAUAUGUUACAUGUUUUAAAAGGGAUUUUUUAUUUGACAGAAAAAGAGAGUUGAAGUCUCCUUUAUAUAAAAAAGAAAAAAAGUAAAUAGAUUUGUAUAAAAAAUAAGAGUAAAGAAGGAAAGAUUGUUUUAAAUUGAAUAAAGGAUUUAUGUUAUAUUAAAUAAAGAUGGAUUAUUUUAACAAUUAUGAAUUUUAACGUUUAAACUUUCCAACUUGCAAGACUUUCCAACAUGCAAAAAAGAAAAAGAAAAAAAAAUGGUUCGGGCAAAACAUAUAUAUAAUAAGAAUUAUAUUUUUGGGGGUGGGCCAUGGUCUACCUUGGCCCAUGAAGGGCUCCGCUCCUGAUUGCAGAUUCGGAGGCCAUGAAUAUUCCGGUCACUUUAAUUUUAUCAUAUAUUUUUGUAGGCAUUAUGCCGUUAUAUGCUAUUAACUUGGAUGAUGCGAGUUUGUUCACAGAUUCAUCCUUUACGUUUUUAGCGGUGUUGAACGAUGUAAUCUCUCGAUUUGAAUGAAUGGAUAUCAUUUUGUUUUUGUCAAAAAAAAAAUGGAUUGACAUAAUAGGCUUAAUUGCACUUUUGGCCCCCUAUCUUUCCAAAAGUUGCGAUUUUGGCGCCUUAACCAAUUAAAAUACAAAACAGCCCCUUAUGUAUUGGAUCUUUGGCAGUUUUGGCCCCCAAGGCCAAUUUUGACUUGGUCUUCACUGACGUGGCACCCACAUCACUUAAUUUUUUUUUAAUUUUUUAAUUAAAAAAAAUAAAAUAAAAAUAUUUGUUUAUUUUUUAACAAAAAAAAUAAUUUUUAAAUAAUUAAAAAAUAAUUAUUUUUAGUUUAAGAAAAUCUUUUUUUAUUUUUUUAAUUAAAAAAUAAACUUUUUUUAAUAAUUAAAAAUUCAAAAAAAUAAAAAAUAUUUUUUUUUAAUUACAAAAAUAAAAAAAAUACACGUGUGCGUUGACCGAGUCAAAAUUGGCCUUGGGGCGAAAACUGCCAAAGAUCCAAUACAUAAAUGGCUGUUUUAUAUUUUAAUUAGUUAGGGGGCCAAAAUCAAAACUUUUAAAAAAAUAGGGUGCCAAAAGUACAAUUAAGCCAUAAUAAUACCUGCACGGCGCAACCAAUGAAAACAACAAACACGUUGAAAUGAAAAAAUCAAUUACCAACUAAACACAGAAACAUUAAACCACUAAAAACAACGUAUUAAAAAAGAAAGAAGGAAAAAAUAACACCACAAAUCAUAUGUCUUGAUUCUUAAAGACAUACUCCACUAUAGAGAGAGCGUAGAAUAAAUUUCACUAUAUUGAUGAACAAUUACAAGAUAUAGUCUACGUCAUAAAGUUUCACUCCACCCUUCAUGGUUCAUGCUUCAAUGUCGAUUCUUCUUUUUUCCACCACGGCGACCCCAACCUUACACUGCCAAGGGGGUCGUCGUUUCCCUCUUUCUCCACCAAUUUUGCCGUCGUUUCGUCCCUUCUUACCAAUUUUACUUUUUUUUCUUUAUUUCCUUCUACUUCUUCUCUCAUCUCCUUGGUGGAAAUUGGUGGGGAAAGGGGGCAACAACGACCUCGUUGGUGGUGAAAGGUUGGGGUCGCCGUGGUGAAAAAGAAGAAUCUAUGUUGAAGCAUGAACCAUGAAGGGAGAAUGAACAAAACAAGGGAAGAAAAGACGAAGAGUUAACGUGUUGAAAGAUUGAGAAUAGACAAAUGACUCGCUUAUACCAUCUUUUAAUCUCAGCCCUUCAUUUUAAUUUGAUGGCUACUAUUUAUUCCUACCAUUCUUAUUUAAGACAGCGCUUACACAUUUUUUAAGAAAUAAAUAUUCAUGUAAAAUAUUCUAAAACUAUUAUAUUUAUCAAUAUUGUUUGUAACAUAAAAGCAAUUUUUUAUUUUUUAUUGAAAAUGUAUUUUUUUAUUAGUUUAAAAAUCAGAAAUUUAAUUUAAAUGAGAUUAUAUCUUAGCAUAUUCUAUUUCAUUGUAAAAAGAAAUACUUUAAUUUAUAACAUUUUAUUUUCUUUUUCAAUUAUCAUCAUUUUCACACACGCUUUUUCCUAACCGUCAUAAUAUUCCUAAAGACUUUAAAGCACUUUUGAACGGCUCGGACGCCCUUCAGAAGGGCUCAUGAGGCCUAGGCGCGCCCUCCCUAAGGCGCCGUCUUUCUUAGCUGCUAGAAACCUCUAGAAAUCGUCUAAAAGACCAAAAGUCCAGCUUUCCUUAGGGCUGAAGUCACGCUAAAACAAGCCCACAAGGAGGCUAUAAAUACAACCCUUGUUAUUCUUUGAAUUAUUUUGCUUCAAUGUUAAUCUUACUUAUUCAAUAUGAACAGGAUGGUCAUGUAAAGCCAAUCAAUAAGCUCAAGAGAACUUUAUGAGGCGCCAAGUCACACAACAAAGAACCUCACCUACCGGCGUACUAAUUGGAACGCCAAUCAGCCAAACACAAACAUCAGGCACAGUUCAGGAACUCAGGUCGACGCUCAACAUACAAAGAGCCAUGCUCAAUCGUAAGGGCGUCAUAAAAAAAAUUGUCCAGGUUCUAUUUUUUCUUUGCAAUAUGAAAGAAUUAUUAUUUGGUUUAAUAUAGCGAUAUAAAGAGUGGAGGGAUUACCCAACGAUUUACUUCUUUACGCAACAAAGAGCAUGAAAAGUGGAGUAGUUAGUUAGUUUCAAUAUAAAAUAAAAGUUUGAAGUCGGUGAGGUAGUAAAAAUAUAAUCAGUUUCAAGUAAAGAUGAGCAAAAAAUCAAAGAAUAAAAUGGGCGAGUUAGUUCAUAUCAGGGAAGAAGUGCUUUCGGAUUUAAGAGGAGUGAUAAAAUUGAAUAGAGGAUUCAAUUCCAGUCUAAUAGAAGAAAGAAAAAGACUAAAAACACAAGAUAAUUGAUUAAGAAAGUUCUUCCCAAUUUAGUGGGAUAGUGAACAGGAGAGGAAAAGAAGUAGAAAAUAUGGGCGAGUUAAUAAGAGAAGACAACAAGUAGUUAGUUUUUAUUAAGUAAGAUUGAACAAAAGAACAAGAUAAUGAACAAAUAAAGUACAAAAAUCAUCAAACAAAGGAAGAAAAUCUAAGCUGGCAACAAGUCGCCGGUGUGUUUACAAAAGUUCAUCGGCGCAGAAAAAUCCAUGUUGACAACAAGUCGCCAGUGCGUUAACAAAAGUUCAUCAGUGCAGAAAAAUAUAUGUUGACAACAAGUCGUCGGUGCAUUUACAAAAGAACAUCUUCGCAGAAAAUCCGAUCGACAACAAGUCGACGGAGCGUAUUUGCAGAAAAUCCGAACUGACAACAAGUCGACGGUACAUCUUUGCAGAAAAUCCGAUCGACAACAAGUCGAUGGUGCGUAUUCGUAGAAAAUCCGAGCUGACAAAAAAGCAUUUAUAUCAUGUCAAAAAACCGAGCCGAAAAAAGUCGUCGGAACAUCACGCAUAAAGGAUAGCGCGAGCUAACAAUAGCGCCAAGUAAAACAUAAAUAAACUAAAGCACAUUUGAAAGGUCACGAAAUCUAAACUGUUAGAUCUUUCGAUAAAAUGAGCUCGCCUUGUAUUCUUUCGAAUACUCGCCCCUGAGGAAUCGCCAUAAAGAAAUCAACUCGUCACGGUGAUACAAACCACUUCGCCUUAUUCCAAGACUCGUGCUUGGGGGGCUAUGAGUGGUCAACCUAUAAAACAAUUCGAAUAUAUACUCCCUGGGGGGCUUCGAAGGAAAAGUGAAAUCACCCUAGGGGGACUCUCCAAAUUCAGACGAUAACACCCAAGGCACAUACAAACUAUAAACAAAGCAUAACCAAAAAAAUUCAAGCUAUUCAAAAACUUUGCCUUGUUCCAAGACUCGUGCUUGGGGGGCUGUGAAACGUCAUACUAUUCCUAAAGACUUAAAAGUCCUCUAUAAAGGCUCAAACACCCUUUAGAAAGGCUCCUGAGGCCUAGGUGCGCUCUCCCUAGGGCACCGCCUUUCUUAUCUUCUAGAAACCUCUAGAAAUCGCCUAAAAGACCAAAAGUCCAGCUUCCUUGGGGUUGAAACCACACUAAAACAAGCCCACACGGAGUCUAUAAAUACAACCCUUGAGAGCUUUCUCGAGGCAUCCAAUAAUCAGUCUAAACCCUUGAAUAUGAUACCUAACCCUAACAUCCCUUAUUGUGCUUUUUUGCAAGUACAGUACUUUAAAUUUAUUACAAUCAUAAAAAAAUUCAAUAUGGUGAUUUUUCUAGAAAACUCACUAAAUAACUUCUUGUAGGUAUUUUUUUCAUAUCUUUCAAGACAACAUUUUAGAUUCUUAAAAAAAAAAAAAAAAAAAAAAAAAAGGCAACUGGCAUUAACCGCGUGAAUUUUUUUAUUGCAAUUCUAUGCAUUGAUUUUGUUUUAACUCAAGGUAACAAUUUCGUUUAUUAUAUUCCUAACAUUUUUUAUUUUUUUAUAGAACGAUUUAGAAAAUAUAAUCGUUUAUCCAUAGGAAGAUUGAAAUAAAAAUUAUUUUCAAACGUUGAAAAAUAUUUUGAUUUUUCAAAAUAUAUUUACAAUGUGGAAUAUAAAUUGUCAUGGUAAUUUUCAGCCAAAAAAAACAUGCACAAUGGAUUCAAUAUGUUUAAUUAUUUUAAGCAUAAUUAGUCAAUCAAUAAAAAAAUAUUGGACAUAACUUCUAUUAAUUUUUUUAUCGCAAUGGGAAACAUGGAGAGAAAAGAUCUUUGAGAAAAAACGUUAUUAGAAAAUGAUCUGGUCGGACCUACGAGGAUGAUUAAGUUGCUUAGAUAUGUCGUCUAUUGCGGUUGAUCCGCCGAUCUGUCUGUCAUCAGUGUAGUUCUGAUGAACUGUGGUGAGGUGAUGAUUACGAUGAAGUUGGUUGAUCGUCAUCUCCUGGUGAGACGAAGGGGAGUUGUUUACCUUUACACGCUCUGACGCCAAGUAAUUAAGGGUUUAAAGAGGAGAGGUCAGAAGUUUAGGGUAAGAAGUGUCAUAUUUGACCCAAGGCUAAGGCCUAUGUAUAUAUAGUGGUUAGUCAAAGCUUGGUUGGCAAACCUUAUCUUGACAAUUGUACCUGCUGGUUAGGACCUGGGUAACCAUCGGCCCUAGGGAGCUACCAUCAGCCUGCAUGGCCAUGGUCAACCCCCGAACCUCGUGCGUAACCCUCGGCCUGCAUCGUAAUCUUGUGGAUUUUAGGGUGUGUCCAUCGUAUGUUGUCGCCUUCUUAGUCGACUCAAGUCGGACAUGAGGGGAGCCGAAUUAGGAUCUAGCCCAUCCGGAACAGUAGCCCCACAAGUUAUAGGUUGAGGGAGUUAAAAUGUAUCUUGAUAAAGCUCUCUCUUUGGAAGUCUAUCUUAGAGGUCAAGGACAUGGUCUUGCGUCGUGGUUUAUGGGUUGUGCGGGUCUUGUCAGGUAAUAUGCAUGGUAAUUUGGUUAUCACAAUGGAAAACAUAAGUGUGAUUUAGAGGAGUCUUCUGAAGGAGAAGUGUGAGUCGUUGCAACUCUUUAGUAGUCAAAGUUUAAGUACCUAUAUUUUACAUAUGUUGAACAAAAGGACACACUCGAGUUUUAGGUAAGAACAAAGGGGGCUUCUAGGGUGAGGCUCCAGCUAAACCACUUACUCGUGGACCAGCCAAAUUAACCCAUGUUUGAAGGUAAUUUUGGUCGAUAAAUGUAAUACCUAAGUCAUUUUGGGAAGUUUUGUAAACUGAGGUAAAUUGCGAAAUUGCAUAUGUGUAACCUCCGUUGCGGUUAUUUUUUAGAUAAAGUGUAGAUCAACCGCGAACCUCUACCAAAAGCAGGGGACUCAUUGUUCUGCUUGCAAAGGUGUGGCAUAAUAUUCUGGUACUGAGAUUACUAAUUCCAAAUUUGUUAUGUCCAAUGAAAUUGAGGUUUCACUCUUCUUUCAUCAUGUUAAAACAUGGAUGGUUGUUAAUAUCCCUAUCAUGGUUUAAAAUUGUGGACCUACUGCUAGCAUAUAAGGCACAGUUGCAAUGUGAUUGUAAAUCACAAUAAAAAUUGCAUCAUAAUGCCAAAAACAUAGUGGACGCAACGGACUCAUCAGACCACAACAAACUAUGUAAUGCUCACAAUACCCACGAUCGUCAUGGCUGCUACCACAAUUUAAAACUAAAACCAUGAUCCAAAUACUUGUUCUCUUGUGGAACAUAAGAUUCACAACAAUAUGAUACUUUGGUCAUCACAACAUGAAACAUAAGUGUGAGUUAUAGUAGAAACCGUCUUUUUUUUUUCUCUCCUUCCAUUGUUUUUGAGCAAGUGUUACUCCACCGACGAGUGAUGGUCUUUUACCCUAUCUGACUUUGAGCGACCUUGAUACCUUCAUCUUGGGGUGCCUCCUACAGAGAAUAACAUCUACCCAAUUUGUUUUCAGAGAUAGAGUUGGUACUCUCGGCCAACUAUUGGGAUCCGGAUUUAGUAACUUUGGGAGGGAAAAGUUAUGUGAUUUUGAUCAAUAUCCACCCUUAAUUUAAUUUGUUGUUUCAGAAUUUGAAACAUGUUCCAACCUUUGUUUGUAUUAAAAAACAAAAGCAAACAUCAAAUGGAGAUUCAUCACAAAGCCAGUGCCUAUAUCACACGACCAUAGUCAUGACCGAUCACCACUUUCACAAACUUCCACUUUCACAAAUCAGAUUGAUCAGUAUAACCCAUUUUCAUGACCGAUCAUCACAACAGAGAAAUCAAAAUAUGGAAAUCCAAUUUUAUUCUUCAAUGUCUUCUUCUAUGAAUAAAUUUUCAAAAAAAAAAAUUAAUCCAACCAAUUUCAAUCUCAUUUUCAAAUAAUCAAAAUCUGGAAAAUCAACUUCAUAUAUUCUUUCACGAUGGCGGCGUUGAAGGGAUGGUGGUGGUUAUAGGACGGCGGUGCGACAGACAACGGCAACGGUAACAGCAAAGGGGUGUGGAAGAGAGAUAAGUUCUGAUAUGGAUUGAUGAAACGGGUCUGAGAUUUUCUGAGAAGGGUCGGCGGCGAUAACGGAGGUUGUGAUUGGAUGACGGCGGCGCGCGGCGGACAUCAGGCUGAAUAGAGAGGGGUAGAGAGGAAGAAUGGGUCAUGAAAAUGGGUUAUACUGAUCAAUCUAAUUUGUUUUAGUUUUUUAACAUAAAAAAUGACUGGGACGCGUGUUAAAAUAUGGACCAUAAGAUUUAUCCAAUGGUCAAUUUUUACCAAAGUCUCAUAACUUUUCCCUCCCAAAAGUUACUGAAUCUGAAUCUCAACUAUUGCUUUCAGUUUUCACAAUUAUUAUCCUUGAUUUAUUGAUAGCGGAUAAAAGUCAAUAUGGGAAUUUGACUAGUCAUAAAAAUCAAUGUGGGGAUUUGACUAGUCAUUAUGGGGAUUUGACUAGAAAAUUCAAUAAAUAGCUUCAUGUAGGUAUUGUUUUUUCAUAUCUUUCAAGAGAACAUUUUAACUUCUUCAAAACAAAACAAAAAAUAAAAUGGCAACCGGUAUUAACCGCGUGCAUUUUCUCAUUGCAAUUUUAUGCAUUGCUUUUGUUUUUACUCAAGGUAACAACUUCACUUAUUCUAUUCCUAACUUUUGUAUUUUUAUAGAAUGAUCAUUAGUGUCAAUUGUAUUAAUAAUAAUGACUUAAUCUCCCCCAAUUUUAUUUCUUUUAAAUAAUGAUAUAAAUUUAAAAUUUGAUGUUGCUCACGGUUUCUGACAAUAUUGUAUUUAUUGUAGGAGGAUCAAUUGAUGCACCACCUACUACGAAAUAUUGCAUUACAGAAGUGAAAUGUCCAAAUAACGAUAAAGCUUGUAAUGAUUAUUGUUUAAAGAUUAGGUUUCCUGGUGGUGGUAAAUGUGAAUCAAAUAAUAUGUGUUGUUGUGAAGCAUAAUUGUAGCUUCUCGAAGUAUUAGUACAAGUGUGUCUACACACAAAGUCUUUAUGACUAAAAAAGAAUAAAUGCAUUUUUUUACUUUCGUAUGAUCAAAUGUUUUAAUAAAUUUUGGUAUCUAAGCUCAACUGUUUGUUCCAAGGAAUUGACUCAUAAUUUACAUGUUCCUGGUUUUUAAAAUGGAUUGAUAAUAAUACCUGCAACAGUGCAACCAAUGAAAACACUAAACACAUUGAAAUAAAAAAUCAUGUACCAAAAAAAAAUAAAAAAUCAAUUACCAACUAAACACAGAAAAAUUAAACCACUAAAAACAACAUAUUAAAGAAGAAAGAAGAAAGAAAGAAAAAAAAAAACACCACAAAUCAUAGAGUUACAUGGAUUUCUAACUUAAAGUGCAACGUGAUUCCAAAUUUGUCUCCUUAGCCCCUCCUCAUAGAGAUUUCCUAUGAGACUUAUUUAUACCUCUGAAACAAGCCUCUAACUCAAACAGAAUAACAUAGUUCAGUUAGAAUAGUUUUUGCCAACACUGUGUAGCUGAAUUAACAAGUUGUAAUUGACUUGUGAUCCCAGAUGUAGCAACAUUUGGAUGCUCCAGAGUGCUGCAACACCUUGCUUGCAUCAUAUUUGAGAUACACAUAAAAAUAUCUCCAUGUUAUCUUCAAAUAAAACCUGUCCCACCAUCGUUGUUAUGCUCGCUUUUAAAUCUUUUGUUUUCGUACAAGUUAAUCAAGUCCAAGAAAUGUUUGAUCAUUGAUAGUUGUAGUGCCUUGGUAAAUGAAUUUGAAAGAUUAAAAAAUGAUAUGGUUGGUCUGAGAGGAUGAUUGAGCUGCUUAGAUAUGCCGCCUAUUGAGGUUGAUAUGCCGAUAUGCAUGUUGUCUGCCUGGUUCUGCUGAAUUGUGGUGAGGUGAUGAUUCCUGUGAAGUUGGUUGAUCGUCAUCCCCUAGUGAGACGAAGGGGAUUGUAUACCUGCAAAUGCUUCAACGUCCAAGUAAUUAACUCGCACAGGGAUAUUUUUGGAAUUUCAGUUGGGAAUAAGCAAAAUGUGUUGGGUAAAGAGCAAAAUUCAUAUUUAAUGGUCAAUUUUGUCCCCUUGGGCCCAUGAGCAACUUUAUUGGAAUUUGACCCCGCACGGUUCACCUUAGAAAUUCACCACUUAAAACCCUAGAUUAUGUUUCUUUCUUUGUUAGGGCAAAUAGAAAACAACAACAAUGGUUCAGCAUAGCAUUGGAGAAACACCACCAAACGAUUUCGCCAUGGAUACUGAAUCAACACAAGAAGCUUCAACGGUGACAAAGAAAAACUCGUUAACCCAACAACUACCAUCAAGGCAAGGUAGAAAAAGAGAGCGAUCACCAGAAACAACGAGCAUUGAUGCUGAUCAUGGUGACAAGCCUAGCAAGAUGAAGAAGCAGAGGUUGAGUAGAUCAGUGUCACGUUUUUCCAGAUCGGUUCAGCAACCACUUCACGUUGUUGUGCCUGGAGAAGGUUUUAGGGAUUCUGCUCAAAAGAUGAAGGCAAUAAAACUUGCAAAGAAAGCUUCUAAGAAGAGAAACAAAGCUGCUCGUCGCGGAGAAGCUGAUAGGGUUAUAGUUAAUCUCAGACCGAAGCACACUCUUGCUGGAAAGCGCCCCAAGGGAAAAGCUCACCACCGCUGAUGAAAUAAUUGGUAAUGUUGUUCUUUGGUAUCACGAUGUGUUUGUCAGAAUCACGGCGAACCGGAGUGGUUUUGCAGAAACUACGCAUUUUGUUUUAUUGAGCUCGAGUAAUUAUAGGUAGUGAAUUGCUUGUGGCACAAGGAUUUUGAUUAGUACUGAUUUUAAAUUAAUGUUUGAAUUUGUAGUUUAUUCCUACUAGUUUCGCUAUGCUGAAAAUGUUGAGCUUGUUAUAUACAAUCAAGUUGUGUUUUGUUUCAUUUAUUGGGGUGAUUGACAAAUCUUGUUGCUACAAGUUUAAUUUCUGCAUAUUGAUAUCCUGGUCAUGAGAUAUAUACUGAACUGCAAAUUUGUUCUUGUCUAUGUAACUAAGGUUCCGCUAUUCUUAUAUCGUCUUAAAACAUGGUUGUUUAUGUCCAAAUACUUGUUCUGUUGUGGAACAUUGUAUUCACAACAAAAUGCAUGCUAAUUUGGUUAUUACAAUAGAAAACAUAAGUGUGAGUUAGAGGAGUCUUGUGAAGGAGAAAUGCGAGUCAUUGCAUAGUCAAAGUUUAAGUACCUAUAUUUUGCAUCUGUUGAACAAAAGGACCACACUUGAGUUUUAGGUAAGAACAAAGGGGGCUUCUAGGGUGUGGCUCCAACUAAAUCCCUAACUCGUGGACCAGCCAAAUUAACCCAUGUUUGAAGGUAAUUUUGGUCGAUAAAUGUAAUACGUAAGUCAUUUUGGGAAGUUUUGUAAACUGAGGUAAAUUGCGAAAUUGUAUAUGUGUGUAACCUCCGCUGCAGUUAUUUUUGAGAUAAAGUGAAUAUCAACCGCGAACGAUGCUGGUGUCUCCACCAGAAGCUCUGCUUGCGGAGAUGUGGCAUAAUAAGAAAACAAGUGCAAUAUGUCAACAUCAAUCCUAACAUGUCAAUUUUGUUUCACUCAAGUAUUUGACGUGCUGAUGAUGACCUGUUAUAGGCUUUUUGUGCAGGGAAAUAUCGUAGGCUAUUAUAUUUGCUUGUCACUUUUGUGAUAGUUUUGUGUUUGAUUGGCUUUACAAGAAUGCAAUAAAUUUAAUGGGGUGAUCGUAGGGAAAUGUUGUAGGCAAAAGAACGUUAAUUAGUCACUCAUUUUAAAUCCUUAUGUUUCCAUUUAAGUUUUAUUCCUACUAGUUUCGUUAUGUUAUAUACAAGCAAGUUGUUUAUUGGUCGACAAAUAUUGUUGCUACAAGUUCAAUUUCUGCAUACUGAUAUUCUGGUGCUGAGAUUUCAAAUUCCAAAUUUGUUUCUGUCCAAUGUAACUGAGGUUUCACUCUUCUUUCAUCGUGUUAAAACAUGGAUGGUUGUGAAUAUCCCAAUCAUGGUUUAAAAUUGCGGACCUGCUGCUAGAAUAUAAGGCACAGUUGCAGUGUGAUUGUAAAUCACAAUAAAAACUGCAUCAUAACGCCGUAAACUUAGAGGACGCAACAGCCUCAUCAGGCCACAACAAACUAUGUAAUGCUCACAAUACCCACAAUCGUCAUGGCUGCAACCACAAUUUAAAACUAAAACUAUGAUCCAAAUACUUGUUCUCUUGUGGAACAUAAGAUUCACAACAAUAUGAUACUUUGGUCUUCACAAUUCACAACAGAAAACAUAAGCGUAAGUUAUAGUAGAAACCAUCUUUUUUUUUCUCUCCUGCCCUUGUUUUGAGCAAGUGUCACCGGUGAGUGACGGUCUUUUACCCUAUCUGACUUCGAGCGACCUUGGUACCUUCAUCUUGGGGCGCCUCCAGCACAGAAUAACAGCUACCCAAUUUGUUUUCAGAGACAGAGUUGGUACUGUCGGCUAACUAUUGCUUUCAAUUUUCACAGUUAUUAUCCAUGGUUUAUUGAUAGAGAUAAAAGGUUUUUGCCUUUUUACAGGUUCUACUAGUUGUGGAUACGUUUUGGUUUUUGAUGUAUUGUUGUUGGAAUGUUUUACUGGUUGAUGAGGUCUCUCACUUGAAGCCAACUUCAAAAGUUGAUGUCAUUAACAGAAAUGUAAUUAAAAAGGUGUCCAGCUGUGGAUAAUGUGAUUAAUUUAUCGUUCCGUUGAGGGUUCCCUUUUUAGAGAUAUAUACUAAAAGCCACCUAUUUCGAGAUAUAUAUACACUAAUUGGCAAGGACAAAUGACUUUCCCCUGUUACUGUUGGAGGCUGCAAAUUGGAAUUAUAGGUGGGUUGGUAAUGUUCUGAAGUGAAACAGAUUGGUUGUGGUUUACUGCAAGUGCAGCGCGGGAUGCUGCAAAAAAGUAUUGGAAAUAUAUCAGUUGUUCCAAAUUCUGGUUUAGUUUUAUGCUGAUGUGCUUAUGUUAGGUGACUCUGAGUUAAGUCUAUUUGAGUGUAAUUGGUGAAUACUUUGAUGUUACUUUAUCUGUUGUUUUGAUCUAUCUUUGCAUACAACCUGUUGCUUGAGAGUCCCAAGCAUAUUAUUAAAGUAACUUCUUUGCUUUUGUUAAAAAAAACUAAAUAUACUAAACUCGCUAUAGUUAAUUGCCAACCAUAAGGGACUUUAAUAACUUUUUCACCAAAACUAGUAUACAUCAAUAGAAAUUUCUACCUCAAAUCAAAUAAACUAAGGUUAAUUAUUACAUUCAAAUUUGAUGUUUGGCUAAGUUAAACUUUAACCAAAAGAACUCCUAUGUAAAUCACUAGAUUACAAGAAGCAUUUACAAGCAGAUUGUGUGUUGUCUCCAUAAAAUCAAAUUACAAGUAAUUGUUGGAGAUGGAUUUCUUGAACCUCCAAGGAUGCUUUUUUGGGUGACUGCAUAAUAAUAAUCCCACUGAUACAUUUGAGAUGAAUUGGUUGAGCCUCCAAGGAUGCAUUAUUUGAAAGUUGCUUCAAUGUGGCCACUAGUAGUUUUGUAUAAAUUUAUAAGUCAUCACCAAUUCUUCUUCUUUAUUGAUAUGGUUGUCUGGUGCUCCCAUACUAACUAGUAAACAUGUAAAGUAGUAUUCAAAAUAUCCACCAAAUCAAUUUUAUGAUCAUGCUCAUAUUUAUUUUUUUACACAAUACAUACAUUGAACUCCAUAUUACAAUGCCGUUAGCAAACAAAAGAGUUCAGCCACAUAUACAAUUUUAUAUUGCAGCCACCUUUAACACCAAGUCUGUUACAAUCUGUUAGAUCAUUAACUUAUAUUUUAUCGAACUGUAGUAUAUAAAGUUAGGUUGUAAGAGAUUUUUUCAUUCAUUUAGUUUAAUUCAUAGUUGAAGUUUGGAUAUGAAUCAUUCUUUUCUCUCUACUUUGAUGGUAAUAAGAGCUCUUCUAUGAACAGAAUUAGAACUCUUUUUAAUAGUUCUGCUGCACAUCACAAAUGGUUCGAGCUAAUGGCUCCGGUGGCUGCAGUGAUGCUUCCGCCGUGUUGACAGCAACUCAGAUUUCUGAGAUUCAGGCCAAUCCUUUCUAUAUUCGUCCAAGUGAGAGUCCCACUUCAGUGAUAAUUUUGCAACUUCACACCGGUUCCAAUUAUAAUGUUUGGACCCGUUCUAUGAAACGGGCUUUGUUCUUCCUCAUGAACAAAUACCAAUUUGUUGAUGGUAGAUCGCUGUUUUAACUUCUCGAGAUCUCAACUACGAGGUGUGGGAAUGCUUCAACAAUAUGAUUCAAUCAUGGCUCAUUUCUUCGGCUUCUCCACAUUUCGCUCAAAACGCGGUAUUUCUUGAUAAUGUUGUUGAUGUUCUGAAUGAACCGCCAGAACGAUUACAUGAUAGUAUUUCCUCUUUACGUCAAGGUAAUACUUCUGUUAUUGAUUAUUAUACUCAAUUGAAGAGUUUUUGGGAAGAAGUGGAGCAUUAUCAUCCCCUAUGGCAGUGUGUUUGUUGCAUUUGUAAGGCUAAAGAAUUUCAUUUAGAGGAUUAUUUGAUUCGUUUUCUUACUGGAUUAAACGGCCAAUUCAGUCAUGUUCGUUCUCAGGUUCUUCUUCUCGAACUCUUACCUACUUUGAACAAGACUCUUUCAAUGGGUUUACGACAAGAAUGCCAAAUUACUCAUGUACAUGUACAUGUACAUGUACAAGAGAUUUCUGCUAUGAUUGAUUCUGCUGCUGGUGGAGGCCGUGGUAAUCCCGGUUGUGGCGGCAGCCGUGAUCCUGCAAAAUCUGCACAUUCUGUCGAAGGCCUGGUUAUAGGGUAGAAUCGAAGGCCUAGUCGUAUGGUAGAAACUUGUUACAAGAAGCAUGGCUUUCCACCUUAUUUCCCAUACUCAGACAAAGGAACUCAAGCUUUUUACAUUACUUGUGCAGAGUCUGCAUCUCAUAGUAUUGAUAUCAUAUCUCAACCACAACAACAUUCUUCAUCUGAAGACAUGAAGUUCGCUCCAUAUUGUUCACCAAGGAUCAAUAUAAUGACCUACUUUCUUUGUUGCAGCAACAGUUCCUCCAUCCUGGUGAAUUAUCCAAUACUCAUGGUUCUAACAUGGUUUUGGCUACCAAUGGACAUGUCGCACCAGGUAGCUAUUCUAUUGUUUUUCACUUGCUAAUUGUGUGUGACCUCUAUUCCUUGGUAAAUAUAAAAAGUAUAUAUCGAUACACCUUAAAGUCUCAUAUUGUUUAUCCCCCGUGAGCUUAGCUCAGUUGGUAGGGAUAUUGCAUAUUAUAUGCAGGGGCCGGGGUUCGAACCCCGGACACUCUACUUCUCCACAAUUAAAUUGUGUGAGCUCUAGCCACUAGGCUAUUAGACCAAAAAAAAAAAAAAAAAAAGUCUCAUAUUGUUUAACAAGCGAGAUCAAACGUAAUUUAUGUACAAUAAUCAUAUUUCUCAACUAAAUGAGCUCUUUUUAUAAGUUACAAAACCGUAAGGUGGCUUAUGUAAACAUAGAAAUUACAUGCUAACAUGUUUUACUGCCAUGUGACAACAAUUCAACAAAAGGUGGCUUUACGAAUUCACACAUGUUCACAAUUUAGCUAAGACUUAUAGACUCAAUAUAUGUUUUUAUUGGUAAAAAUUCAAAUAUAUCCCACAUGUUAUGAAACUCAAGUGAUUGUGUGGAAUCAAUACAAAUUUUAAUUAAAUUCUAUAAAAAAAAAAUAAUCAUUGAAAUUUAAUGUAUUGGAAAAAUAUUUAUUACAGACGUUUCUAAAUUAAUUUGAAAAUUUUGGUAUAGAAAAGGCUCCAAAAACAAAAAAUAGGCUCCAAAAAUUAACACCGGUUCAAAACUUCGCUAGUUACGUCACGACCGAAUAACCCGUACAAACACCACAAACUAAUCUCAACCGUCCAUAUCAAACACAAUCAACGGUAAUCACAAUCGAUCCGCGUGAUUCAUUCUCAUUGGUCCAUUCCUCCCCAUCUCACAAUAUAAAACCCUUGCUACCGCCAAUGUUUUCAUUCACUUGAAUCUUUCAUCUUCUACAUUCUCUUUCUCUCUCCAAAACCGUUCCUUCAAAUCUCUGAAACUUUUCAUCAAUGGCGGGUAGAGGCAAAUCCCUUGGUUCCAGUGCUCCCAAGAAGGCUACCUCAAGGAGUAGCAAGGCGGGUCUCCAGUUCCCCGUUGGCCGUAUCGCUCGUUUCCUCAAAGCCGGAAAAUACGCUGAACGUGUUGGUGCUGGUGCUCCUGUUUACCUAGCUGCUGUUCUUGAAUAUCUCGCUGCUGAGGUAAUUUCCCUUCACUUCUCUCGUCCUUCCAAAUCGCUCUUUUUUCUUUUCAAUUUCAUAUACAUGUCGUAAGAUCUAGGGUUUCGUGAUUCAAAUCGAGUUCCCCAGAUUUAGGCAAAAUCAUCGAUUUUAAAUAACUUCGAAUUAAUUCAAUGGAAAGAAAUUGUUUUUGUUGUAGAUGUGUUUCGAAUUUUGUUUAAUUUCAAUUUCAUAUACAUGAUGCAUGAUCUAGGGUUUCGUGAUUUUGGUAGUUUUCUCCAAUUUCAAUAUAUUACUCAUCUUUUUGAAUAACUUUGAAUAAAUUUAUAAUUUAUUAUGUUUUAAUUUCAAUUUUAUAUACAUGUAAAAAAAAAUUAGGUUUUUGUGAUUCAAUUCAUUUUCCCUGAUUUUAUGUAAAUAAUCAUCUUUCUUCGAUGAUUUUGAAUGAAUUUAUCGAUUCUGUUAUGUGUUAUGAUUUUUGUUGAAUUCAAAUUUUUUAGGAUUUUAGUCUCAAAUUAUAUAUAUAUUUUAUUUUUGUGAUUAGGUUUUGGAAUUGGCUGGAAAUGCUGCAAGAGACAACAAGAAGACAAGAAUUGUGCCAAGACACAUUCAAUUGGCUGUGAGGAACGAUGAAGAAUUGAGCAAGCUUCUUGGUGAUGUUACCAUUGCUAAUGGUGGUGUUAUGCCCAAUAUUCACAACUUGUUGCUUCCAAAGAAGGCUGGUCCCUCCAAGAUUGUUGAUGAUGAAUGAAUGAAUCUUAGAUGAAAAACCUGAUUUUGCAGAUGCAGUUAUUGAAUUUAGUUUCAUAUUUUGUUGUUUCUGGUUUUAGUUUCAGACAGAGUUUAAUGAUUGGGAUUAUUAGGGCUUGUUAGUGGUUCUGUUAGUGAUGUUAAUACAAUGAAUUUCAGAUUGUUACUUUUGCAUGAGAAUGGUGGAAGUUUAUAACAUUGAUCCCUGUUUUUAAUUGUUCGUAUGAAUUUGUCUCUAGUCACUUCACUAACAAUCAAUCUGAAAUUAAGGCAGGGGUAAGGCCCUUACCAAGAAGAUUGUUUAAUUAUGUGUAUGGUAUCCAAAUGGAAGCUUAACAGAAAGUUUUGCUUAACAAUCUAUAUCAUGGUUUUCUUUUCUGAAUGCCUAAAGUAACAAACCUCCAUGGCCAUAAACUUGAUGCCUGUGUCAAUAGUUCAGCUUGAACCAUAAUUCAAGGUAACAAAUUUUAAAGCAAUUAUGAAUGUAAUCGCCCCAAAUACAUCCAUAAUUCAGCUUGAACCAUACUACAUCUAUCAGUCUUUCCUGCAAAUCCCCACAAAAAUCGUCCAUUGUGAUGGCGACCCAACCCCCGAGCAAGAAGACCCAUUUAAUUGCAUUACAUAAACAUUGCACUUAUUCCCAUAUUCGGAGCAGGCCAUUUCGGACUCAACAAAUGACAACUUUGUCACUCAUAACAGUAACAAAUUUCUCCUCGUUAGCCCUCUCAAGGUCUACAACAAGGUAGUAAACUUGGAAAAUGGUGUUACCUUGAUUAGGUGUGAUGGCUUUGAAAACCAACUCAUUUCUAUUGCACCAAACACAAGUUAAAGGAUCAAUGUCUGCCUGUCUGAAAUAUCUCCAAAUCUGCAUUGCCUGCCCAAUCUGUGAACACAUGAAGGAGUGUCUCAGAUUCCAGAUUGCAGAUCCGGCACAAGUCAUUAACCAGUCCUGUUUAGCCUGCUCUCCAAAUGACAUUUUUAUUUGGCCAUCCUUUGCAGAUUCCCUGUCAAAACUUCGAACCAGGUCUAUUACUUCUGAUUGUAGGCACAAUAUCUGAACCACACCUAUAUUUAGAUUUGAUAGUUUUAACCCACAACUCAUUACUUCUAUGACAAAGAGACCAACCUGCUUUCAUCAUAAGGUGAGUUUUAUGUGACUAAUAAUUAUAUGAUAUGCAUUACAUAUAUCGACACUACACUACAUAUGCACUUUGGCGCGUCCGUUUCACACCCUCAUUUUUGGACUCAAGGUUCUGGUUUUGUCCCAGUGAUAUGGUCUUUUCUGCUGUGGCUUCACAGAUUUAUUUUAGUUUUUCGGUGCAUUCUUGCAUGGUUUGGUGUAACCAACUCCUGUGUUACUGUUGUUUUUUUAAUUUGAUUAGAUUACUGAUUUUAUCCUCUUUGUUUAAAUUUCUGUUUGUAAAAUUUGGUCAAUUAAAAGAUAAUAGCAAGUUAUCGAUUUGGUCAUUCGAAAUUACCAUGACAAGAUGAAAUCUAUGGAACUUACAGGUCCAUAUUAAGACGAACGGUCCAAAUUAAAACUUAUUAGCCAUAGUCAAUAAUCGCCUAAUUCCUAACUCCUCUAGGCGAAGAAUUUGCUUAUCUGCAAAAUUUAUAUCUCCUCUUUGAGAACCCUAAUAAAUCAUUAACAGGUGGUGAGUGAAUAACAGAGAAAGUACUAAAAGAGUUGCACAUCAUUGUAGCUCAGAUAAUAUUCUUAUUCUUACAAACAUGCUAUGCUACAAAUAUUGUAAGGAAAAAAACAUAAGUUGUCACUAGACACAACACUAAAGAAUCAAUAUGAACUCCAAAAAGCAUCAAUCCGUAGAAUGAAAAGAAAAGAAAGAAUACAGAUGCAGUUUAUUGCAUUGUACUACAAAAGAUAGACAAAAAGAGUAGGAAGUGAGGUGGGGUUUAGCAUGGGAAAGGAUAAUUGUUUCCCACCAUGGGAAAGUUAUUUUUGACCAUUAGAUUAAGUUGCUUUAUCAUAGACUCUCUACACUAAUUAGAAGCUUUAUCCGAACCGAGCCACUGAAGAUACUCUUUGAUGCCCCCAAACAUUAAUAUGAACACAUUUACUUAGACAAGCCACCAGCAACAUGGCACAUUAUGCUUACAUCACAUAUUUUCCCCUAAUUGACUCUAUCUAAUCUCUACUUCUUCAAGCUUCUUUGCCUCCUGAACACAUUUUUGAACAUUCAAGCCAACGGUGGCGGAGCCAGGAUAAAAAAACUCGGGUGGGCCACCAAAAUAAGUAAUAAUAAUAAUUACAGUUUUAUUUGCAAAGGACAGCAUGGGAUGAUCAAGUACAAGAUGCAGUCAAUAGAAAAGUAGCAGCAAUAUUGUGAGUUGUGAUAGCCAUGGGAGAUCAAGUGUGUAUAUAUCAAUUAAUAGCAGACUCCAAUAUAACAAAGACAAAAUUCUAGAGAUGAUGAAUACAUAAUACAUUGAACCCUUUGUUCAUAAGAAAAAUUAAGGCUUAAAUGUCCAAUAAUACAAUGACAAAGUGACACGUGUCCCAGAGUUAACACGUGUCACCUUGUCAUUGGUUCUGGGAAUUUUUUACAAAAAGUAAAAUAUAUAUAUUAAAAAUAAAUUAUUAUUUUUUUAUAUAAAAAAAAUAUUUUUUUGUAAAAAAAAAAAGAAAACAGAGCCAAUGACAAGGUGACACGUGUCCACACUUAACGUUUUUUACUAAAACUAACGGAAACCUAACAGAAGGGACCAAAACGAGACUAAAAAAAAACUUAAAAUCCUCAAACAAUCUUUUUUUUAGUUAAGGGACCAAAGCGAUACCAAUUAAAUAGUUAAGGGACUAAAAGAGCAUUUAAGCCAAAAAUUAAAGUCAAAAUCAGCAAAUUAGUAAGUACAAUAAGAAAAUGAAUUAGUAUAAUUAGAAAUUAACAAAAAAAAAAAAACUCACACCAACUUUGUGCAAUUUGUACAAAAUGAGAACCAAUCAAAAUUUUUGUUUCACAAAUCUAUUUGUAGACUGUGUAGAAUCCAUAUGUUGAACAAUCGAAACAACAAAUAAAACAUAGGAAUCUCAAUAUCAAGUCAAAUUGUUGGUUUUUGACCUCUCUGUUGCCUUUGGAUAAAUACAUUUAGAGAGAGGGUGAGGGAAAUCCUGGUGGGUGUUAAAUACCUGACCCAAGCAUGACAAGCGCACGAUUAUGAAUUCUGCUCUUUAACCAGCACAUUUCGCUCGCACCCUGCAGCCAUGCUCAAAAUACCCCUACGCUAGUUAAUUAGUGCAAGUGUAAACUUAUGCGCAAGUUAAGUAGCGUUGCGCAUGUUAAGUAGCGCAAGUGUAAACUAGUGCAAACUUUAAGUGGCGCAAAGUGCCUACUUUUUAUUUAUUUAUUUAAUAUGGUGCAAAGUCGAAAAUAUUUUAUUUAUUCAAUAUGAUUUAAUAAAUUAUUUUAUUCAGUCAAUAUGGCGCAAAGUCUAAAUAUAAAUUUUAUUUUAUUCUAAAUUAUUUAUGCACUUAAAAAAAAUUCGAUUUUAUACUAAUUCAAUUUUCAUUCUAAUUUAUUUAUUCAUUAAAUGCAAAAUUAGAAAAUAAAAUCGAUUUUAUUUAUUCAAUACAUAAGCAUAAACAUAAAAUAAAAACGAAAAAUAAAUACAAAUAAAAAACAAAAUUAAUAAAAAAUAACUCUCAUUUUAUUAAUAUGAUUCAAACAUUACAUUAUAUAAUACUUAUAUUUUACCCCUUCAGUAUAUGCUAAUAACUCUUGGGGAAAAUAGUGAUAUGUCAUGUUGGGGAAAACGACAUCAAGACCCCUUGAGUUAAAUUUAAAUUUGGUUCCUUUUAUACCCCCAUAUUGAUUCAAGAUUUUAGGAGUAAAAGGAAACAAACCUAAUUUUUUCCAAGGGAUUAUGUCUUUUUCCCCAACUUAACGGACCACUAUUUCCCCCCAAAAGCCACCGGUAUUUACCUAAAGGGGUAUAAAAAGCCUAGAAACUAAAGAAGCAAAGAAGAAGAAGAAAAGGAGGGGGAGAGAGUGGGAGGAGAAAAUGUGAGGAAAAGAGAAAGUAUGUGAGGGUUUUUAUAGGUGGUAUAAGGUAUAUGGCACUUAAUGAGGUCCAAAAACGUGUGAAAAACUUAAGAAAAACGUGUAAAAUCCAAUCAAAACCAUUGACUACCGUCCAAGAAACGUUUGUGCUUCAGUUUUUAUCACCGGCCAACUUGUGCAAGUUAACUCGCGCAUAGGCUCAGUAGUGCGUGACUUAAGUCACGCAGAGCUUGUGAGGUGCGUGACUUAACUCACGCAGGGUUAUAUUUGGAAAAAGUGCAGGGCGCGAGCAAAAUGUGCAGGGUGAAGAGCAGAAUUCCGCGAUUAUACCGCUAGGACGAGCAAACAAUUGUGAAAUGUUUGUCGCACUAUUUCUAUAAAUUAUAUUUUUGUAUGCAGUAUACAAAAAAAAUAAAAAAAAUAAAUUGGGCCCAAAAUUUGGAGGCCUAGCUCAGUAGAGUUGUUUGCACCCCCUCAAGAACGGCCCUGAGAAGAUUAGUGUAUGGAAGGAUGCUUCUAUAAAGGAGCAAGACAAUUCUAAGUUAAUGAGUCUAAUAAAUUUGAGCUCGUAAAACCUAUAUGUCUCGUACCUUAUUGAACCAAAUUGAAAGGAGUGGAGGAGACGAUUUUAUUGAGGAAAACUUCAAUGUUAGGGAGGCCUCAAGUAUCUUAUUAGGGGGAUUGGGAAGAUAUCAUAUGUUGGAAAUUUAGUCCAACCAAAAUGUAUAGUGUUAAAUAUGGUCUCUAUUAGUCUCGUGAGCAUAGCUCGGUUGGUAGGACAAUGCAUUAUUAUAUGCAAGGGUUGGGGUUUGAACCCCAGACACUCUAUUUAUUCACCUUAUAAGGUGAAUUCUAGCCACUAGACUACUUGACAAAAAAAAAAUACGGUCUCUAUUACACCAUGAAACACUUGUUUGACAAUAACGAAUACCAGAAGGAAAUCUAACAAAGUUAUUGGAGGUAAAACUAACUCAAAAAACGAUUUUUAUAUGUUUUUUGUUGUUGUGUGGAGGGCACCAAAAGGAGUGUUACCUACUCCACAAAGACUUCAACACUGAGGGAUACCAUGCACAGAAUGUGUUUCUUUCGAUGUAGGAAAAGCAAAAGAUAUGUGUAGAAGCUGGUACCAUCUAAUCAUGUGAUUCAAAUUCAUUACUUUGUUGGUACCAUCUAAUCAUACCACGAGUCACUAAAUUCGCCUUUGUUGGCAAUCGAUUUCGAAGGAGACGCCAAACAAGGAUUGACACCUUCAACGGAAUCUGUCUAUGCCAAAUUAAAUCAGAAACCUCGGUAAUCACAUUACUCCCAUCUGAAGUGAGCAAAUCAUAAGCUGAUCGGACAGUUUAACUUCCUACAGGGUCGCGAGACCAUCUCCAAUGAUUUGUGGAAUUAACCUCCAAAACAACAUUAGCUAACAACAACCUACACUCCUCCACUAACAUCUCCUCCCAAUCCCACAACCUCAUACGCCACUCCCACGCAUCACCCCCUUCUCCCCAACCCUUGUCAAACAUUUCCUCCACUGUUCGAUUUUUAUUAAAGUUUAAGUCAUACAAGCGACUGAAUCGAACUGACAACGCAAUACCUCCCACCCACGGAUCAAUCCAAAAAAAAGUGUCCCGCCCGUUCCCCACCAUUUUUGUAACAUUAUCGUGGAACCACCUAUCUCCGCUACCUCCUCCACUACUACUAUGCAAACGCACAACCUCCCUCCGCCAUCUUUGACAAUUUUUAUUAAUAUCCAAGGUUUAAAUAAAAUGAUCAUAUAAAAAGGGACAUAGUGAAUAUUUAAAAUGCUUGUAGGAGGUUAUUAUUUUCUUUAUUAAUAAACUUUAGGUUAAAUUAUAUUCAACAAAACAAAAAUAUUUUGUUCAUAAAAAACAAAACAACAAUAUUGCACAUUUAUAAAAGCAUUUUAUAAACUAAUAUCAAAGUGAUAUAAUGAUAUGUAUGCAUAAAAUCAUCUCAUUAAAAAUAAGAUAGGAGUAAUUAAAUUAUAAAAAUAUUUUAAAAUGAUUAUCCCUUUUUUCUUUUUCUUUUUCUUUUUUGAUAGAAGAUUAUUCAUUUUUCAAUCACAUUCGCUCAUAAUAAACUUUUAACAAAUAUAAUUCUUCCCUUAAAAGAAUAAUUAAUCCGGGUAUUUCUUUUUCAAGGAAAUUAUGUUUUUUUUAGGAAUUUUUAAGGAAAAUUUGAUCCAUGUAUUUAUAAAAAAAAAACAUAUUUAAUCAAAAAAAAUCCAAAUAAACUAAUAUUAGACACGUGUACAAAAUGGCUUGUUUCGGUCCUACUAGUAGAGUAACCCAUACACACACCACAAACUAAUCUGGACCGUCCAUAUGAAACACAAUCAACGGCAACAAGUAUCGAUCCGCGUCAUUCAAUCUCAUUGGUCCAAUCAUCCCCAUCUCACACAAUAUAAAACCCUCGCUACCAUCUUCAAUUCUUCACUCUGAAUAUUCAUCUAUAUUCUCUCACCGAUUCAAAAACUUCACCUUCUUCAAAUCUCUCUUUUUUUCGAUUUCAAUUUCAAUUUCUUCAUCAAUUUCUUCAUCAAUGGCUGGUAGAGGCAAAACCCUAGGUUCCGGUUCUGCUAAAAAAGCCACCUCAAGAAGCAGCAAAGCUGGUCUUCAAUUCCCCGUUGGCCGUAUCGCUCGUUUCCUCAAAGCCGGAAAAUACGCUGAACGUGUUGGUGCUGGUGCUCCUGUUUACCUCGCCGCUGUUCUUGAAUAUCUCGCCGCUGAGGUAAUUUCCCUUCACCACCUUCAUUUUCACAUACAUAUCACCAGAUCUAGGGUUUCUUAAUUCAACUAGGUUUUCCCCCAAUUUUAGUAAUUUAUCAUAAUUUCUGAUUAAUUUCAACUUAAAUUAAAUAUUUUUGUUGAAUUUGAAGUUUUUUGGGUUAAUUUGGAUUGAAUUUGGAUUUAUUAGGGUUUUGAAUUGAAUUUGUGAUUUUUGUGUAGGUUUUGGAAUUGGCUGGAAAUGCUGCAAGAGACAACAAGAAGACAAGAAUUGUGCCAAGACACAUUCAAUUGGCUGUGAGGAACGAU
This 72192-nucleotide long non-coding RNA is filed under the name Medicago truncatula (barrel medic). Its description in RNAcentral is "long non-coding RNA (MTRU_LNC008761)". The record is from RNAcentral. Lineage: Eukaryota; Viridiplantae; Streptophyta; Magnoliopsida; Fabales; Fabaceae.